This 72243-nucleotide long non-coding RNA is filed under the name Podarcis lilfordi (Lilford's wall lizard). Lineage: Eukaryota; Metazoa; Chordata; Lepidosauria; Squamata; Lacertidae. The record is from RNAcentral.
GGCACCACCCUGACAAGCACGUGGCACAUGACCAAGCGAACAUUUUUGAUACGACGGUCAUGUCGCCUCUCAGGGAGCUGCUGAAAAGGCGGAUGAAGCAGCAGACCAUGGACAGGUUCCUCAGCAAGAAGCAAAGAGUGGAAGAGGAACCUUCUUCGAGUGGUCCCCCAGAGUCUUAGAAAAUGUAAUGUACCCUUUUUGAUUUUUAAAUGUUUUCCUGUCAUGUUUAGAAACUUAAUUUAUUGUUCCUUCAAUUUUGAUAUGCUCUUUAAAGUAUGUGUGACUUUAAAGAGCAGUUAAUAAACUCUUGUUGUACCAAAUUUGGCUUUGAUUGGACUUUUUUUGACCAUAGGAACGCAUUAAUUGAAUUUCAAUGCAUUCCUAUGGGAUUUCGUGCUUCGCAAGACGAAAAAUUCGCUAGACGAAAAAACUCGCGGAACGAAUUAAUUUCGUCUUGCGAGGCACCACUGUAUGUGAUCUCUGUAUUAUGUCCCUUCCCACCUAUCUUGCAGUUGGAUGAAAAUGUUGAACCGUAUCCACAGCCUUGAGGAUACAUACCUCCUUUUUCUACUCAACAACAACUCAAUUGGACCAAAAUAGUUGUGUACACACAAACACACACACACAAACACUCCUGCCCAGCAGUUUAUUGCAGAUUUUUGCCUACAAGAAGAAUAAAAAAGAUGGCAUAUGAAGUUGUUUUAUUAUUGAGCUUUCCACCUUUUUUCCUUAAAGCUUUCUUUGUUUGUUUGAAUUGUUGUUUUAUUCAUGCUUUUAUUGCACCAAUUUUGGGCAAAUAUUUAAUCUGCAAUUGCCAUUCGGAUUGCAACUACCUUCAAUACGAAUACAUUCAUUUAAUAUUGAAUAUUCAUUAUUGAAUAACUUCAAUACGAAUACAAUACAUUCAUGCACAUCUGACCUAUAAUAGGUAAUAGAAAUCUGUACAUUAGAUGACAGCAAAAGCCCUUUUGUGGAUGUGCAUUCAUAGACAAAAAUAGCAAUCUCAUUUUGGUGCUUUGUUUUCUCUGAAGAGCAUAGCCAUCUGUCUAACACCUGCUACCUGUGUACUGUCUGCUUCUUCCAGCUGACCUUAACAGUCUCUCUGUGCUUGUUAUCUGUGACACUUCACUGGCCAGUUUGCAUCCAUCCAUCCUCUGCUGCUGACAUCCUACCUGAGUACAGGCUCCAUCCUCUGACACUUGGUAUGCAUGCAGCAUCUGGGCUUGGAUUGGACAGCAAUGGUGUAGACAGUGAUUUGUGGAGCAAGACCUCUCUGGGAGCACAUUGCAUCUCCUAACUUGCUUCAUUUCAACUCUGUCAUGAGUUUUUUUCUUCUAUUCAUCAUUAAGCUACCAAUCUUGGCCGUGGUAUUGUUUACUUGUAUUUCAAGAAACUCCUUUGAAUUCUGCAACAAGUGCUCUGCAGUGACCCUGACAAGCACAAUGAAUAAUUUGAAGACAUGAUUUUCUCUUUCAAAAAUUCACCAUAACCAUCAUAUUAAUUUAUUAUUCCUGUUUAUUGGGAUCAAUUCCCUUGCUAAAUUUAAAGGGAAGAGAGUGCAAAAAAAGAGAAACAAGGGUGACUAUGGUCCAGUGGCUAAGAGACUGGGUCAAAUCCAACCUCUAUCAUUGACUCAUGAUGUGGCCUUAGGAAGUUACCAGCCCAACACCUGCUUCUAACCAUUCUUAUAUGGAAACAAGUGCCAUUCACUUCCAUCUCAGGCAGGUUUUUACUGGCAAUAAUGUCCCAAUUCUCAGAACCAAAAUGAACAACAAAAUAACAUACAACAACUACUCCAGAAUAUGUCAUGAAGACAGAUUAGGCUACCACCUUGCUGAAGCUAACCAGGUCUGGGCCAAGUCAGUGCCUGUAUAGAUGAUUACCUGGGAACCACAUGUAUAUUGUUGAGUUCCAUGAAAGAAAAAAGGUGGAAAGUUCAUAGAUGGUUAUAUGUCUGUUCCAGUCUCCCAUCGCACAUACAAUUGUUUAGUGCUUUCUUGAUAUGAUAAAAUAAAAGAGUCAUGGUUGCCAGCACAAAAUCGGUGUCAUGUACAGCAAAAAAAGAUGGUACUCUACACCAGUAAGUACCAUCCCAAUAAAUCAACAACUAUAUUUGUGUGUGUGUGUGCAUGCACUCACAACAUUCAGAAUUAGCUUGAAAAGUCCUUAAAAUUUGAUUUUAAACUGUCUAACAAAGCUGAUCACUUCUGAAUUUUGGUUGUUUUGAUAUGAAUUUCUUCAUUUAAUUAAAAUAGAUAAAACAUCUAGCCGCAUAACUACUUGAUUUUUUUUAUGAGAGUGAUGAAGAAGAACCCUCCCAAAAAACAACCCACCCUACAAAAUUGUGCAAGAGCUUUUAAAGCACUUUAGUCACAAGGGCCAAUUGGCAAUGUUCAUUCUUAAUAAGAGCUGAUCUUCCUCACCCUCUAUCCCCAGUUAGCCCUUAGAGGCUUGAAUAAGUGAAAAAUAGCAAGUCUUUAUAAAUGUUACUAUCUCACAAUACUAUUUUUGAGGUUCCCUAACCCAUACCGCAACCUAUUUUUUUAUCAUGAGUAAAAAUCUUUAUUGUAUAAAACCAUAUUUCAGUCUGCAUUAGGGUAAUCUGAAGUAGUGUGCAACAUGGUUGUCUGUGCUGGCGACAGAUUUGGACCAUCCAAAAUCCAGGUUAUGGUUUGACUUCUAAACUAGCCUUCUACCAAAUCACUGGCUCAUCUAGCUCAGUACUGUUGACACUGUCUGCCAGUGACUCUCUGUGGUUUCAAAUAGGAGCCUUUCCCAGCCCUCCUUAGAGAUUAUGCUAAUUGAACUUGGGGCAUUCUACAUUCAAAGCAUGUGCUCUACCACUGAUCUAAAGUCUUUCCUCAAAUAGUCAUGUGAAUCAAUCCAAAUAUGUAUGUAUGUAUUUAAUUAAUUCAUAGAUUGCUUAAUUGCUCUAAUAUAAGAAAAUAUCUAAACAGCUUACAAAGUAAACAAAAACAAAGGCUUUUUUUCAGGAGGAAUUCACCGGAACUCAGUUCUGGCACCUCUCAGAUGGGCGCCAUUGCCAUUCGAAGAGAACAAGGGAGGGAUGGACAAAUAAACCAUUUGAGGUGUUUUACUUUUUAAUCAAAUGGUGUCUAAGUUUUAUUAAAUAAAAUACUGUAAAUAAAAUGAAAAUAUAUUCUGUCAAGGAAAAUCCAGAAUCAAAAUACUAAAACAAAUAAUUGAGCAGGCCAAUAAAAAUAUAACAAUUGAGAAAUGCCUGAACCAACAGAUACAUUUUUAAUGGGCAUCUAACUACUGGUGUUUCUCAGACUGGAUAGGGGAGGGUGUUCUAAGAUGAUUUGAAAAGGCCCACUGCAAAAAAAGAAAAAAGGCUGCUUCUGUGUUGUCACUAGAUGAAAAUCUUCCAGCUGCGGCACAACCAGCAGGACCUCCUCUAAGGAGUCGAAAGAUUGACUGGCUCUGUUACAGGGGAGCGGAUCUGACAAAGGUGUGCAAAAAGUGGAUAGAGAAAAGUUUUUCCUCCCCUCCCAUAAUGCUAAAACUCAGGGACAUCCAAUGAAACUGAAUGUUAGAAGAUUCAGGAUGACAAAGGAAGUACUUCGUGGUGUAGUGGUUAAGAGCGGUGGACUCGUAAUCUGGUGAACCGGGUUCGCGUCUCCGCUCCUCCACAUGCAGCUGCUGGGUGACCUUGGGCUAGUCACACUUCUUUGAAGUCUCUCAGCCCCACUCACCUCACAGAGUGUUUCUUGUGGGGGAGGAAGGGAAAGGGGAAUGUUAGACACUUUGAGACUCCUUCGGGUAAUGAUAAAGAGGGAUAUCAAAUCCAAACUCCUCCUCCUCCUCCUCUUCUUCUUCACUCAGUGCAUAGCUAAGCUGAGGAGCUAGUUCAACUUGAACAUUAGAACUUGGUUUACUUUUAAAGAGGAUUUGAUAGAUUAAUGAAGGAUAAGACUGAGAGUUGCUACCAGGCACAAUUGCUAUGCUCUUUCUCCACUGCCAGAGGCAAUAUGCCUUGGAAAACCAGUUGCUGGGAACCUCAGGAGAGUGCAGCUGGGCUCAGGUCCUGCUUACAAACUUCUCGUGGGAAUCUGGUUGGCCACCUGAGAGCAUCUUAGUGGACAAAAUGGCCCUUUGACCUGAUCCAGCAAACUCUUAUCAUGUUAUGCUACUCGCUGGAUCAUCACCUUGUCAUGGUGAGUGGACUUGCACAUUCCAAUGACCCUUGUGAGCAAAGCCAUCGGGAAUUUUGUAUUCCCAGCAGGGUCACCCAAGGCGGUAAAGGCAAAGGGAAGGAGCUAGACAAAGAAUGAUCCAAGAAGUCCACAAUGGGAGAACAAGUGGCAUAUUACAACAGCUGUGAAGGUGGAUGAAGGCUGCAGCAGAUAAGAAUCUACCGGUUCAUAGUGACUACUUACGCCAUCAGAACAGAGCCUUACUGCAAAGACUGUGCGUUGGUAAGCGUACACUGAUCUACACACAUAAAACAAAUUCACACACAGGCAUCUUCCAAAAACCCAUCAUGUUAAAUAGUAGUUCCCUCACAAGUUGUAUAGCACAAUAAAUUCUCAGCUAAUGUUGUACUAGCUAAGACAACUUCACACAAUCACAACAUUUGAUAACUUAUCUUUCAAUAGCACGCAUCUGCAUAUGUAAUCCAUUGCCACUGCUGACAUCGCACAUGGCCAAACCCUUCCUUGGAGGGGGGAGCAUUUGAGGGCUUUUGUGAUGUGGUGACAAAACCCAUUCAUGCUUCAAACCUGCAUGUGGUGUUUAAAUUUUAAAGCACACUGUGCUAAUCUUUCAAAAAAGAUUUCAUUAACUUGGAUACUGUAAAUUAAUUACCUCAUGCAGCUCAAGAUAUUGCAAUGAAGUGGUCUUUCAGCACAUACGGCUGUGUCCUGCUGAGCAACAGCCAGCGAGGAAUGUAUUAUUAGUAGCAACUGCACUUAACUUUGUAUAUUAACAAUUUUGACUUUUGUAGCACACCCUAAAUGGUAUUUAGAAAAAUCUUUAGGAACUGGCAAGUUUACCACAAGUGAUCAGCAUUUAUAGAUUUCUAAUUGUAUUUUCUCUUCUGAGUAACAUGGUUGCUGUUGAUUAGUUUAGCUGUUUCUUUACAUAUGUAUGCCAUUAUCUCUCAUCAGAGCUCAGUCUACCGAAUCUCCCAGGUGGCUUCCCAUGCAGGUGUUACCAAAGCCAAGCUUGUCUCAUUUCUGAAAAUGAGCUUGGUGAUGUGCCAAAAUACUCUGCUAUAGAACAUUUUCAUUAGGUCACGACUGGUCAGAACUUUUUUUUACUAAAAGAAUUAAGCAUGGCAUUUUGCUUUAUUUUAAGUUUUAAGAAGACGUCACCCACUGCCUUUAGAGACAAAGCAAGUGGGGUUAACUGUUGUACACUCAUACAACAUCUCAGCAAGCACAUUCCAGCCUGGAAUUCCUUCACACUCAAGGAGCAGGGCCAAUGAGAGAAGGCCAGAUCUGCUGCACCUGUGGUAGGCUGGCCCUGCUGUUCUCACAGUGGCUAACCACGUGCCUAUGGAAAAGCCUAACGGGACCCUGCAGUUUCCAGCAAAUGGUUUUUAGAAACAUUAGACAGCUCAGGACCACAACACGAGAAUGGGCCUUUUCUGCAGUGGCUCCCCGUCUAUGGAAUGCACUCCCCAGGGAAGUUUGCCUGGUGCCUUCAUUAUACACCUUUAGGCGCCAGGCAAAAACAUUCUGUUUUAACCAGGCCUUUGGUUGAUCUUAUUAACAUCAAACACCCUUUUAGAAUGUGGACUUUUGGGGGGGGGUUAUUGGAUUAUUGCUUUUGGUUUGGUUUUAUAUGUUUUGAACCACCCUGAGACCUCCGGGUAUAGGGCAGUGUAUAAGUUGAAUAAAUAAUAAUACUACAAGAACUGCCUCUCCCCGUAUGACCUGACCCAGACCUUGUGAACAUCAUCUGAGGCCCUUUUUUAUAUGCCCCCGCCACAAGCAGUCCGGAGGGUGGUAACACAAGAACAGGGCCUUUUGUGUGGUGGUUCCCCCGUUUGUGGAAUGCUCUUCCAAGGGAGGCUUGUCUGACACUUUAUUAUAUAUCUUUAGGUUCCAGGUAAAAACAUUCCUCUUCACUUAGGCCUUGGGCUUAUUAAACAACAUAUGGCCUUUUAAACUGGUGAUGAACUAAUUGUUUUCUUUGUUAUUAUGUAAUGUCUUUUCGUGUUUCUUACCUUAAACCACACUGUGAUCCUCAGAUGAAGGUUGGUAUAUAAAUUUAAUAAAUAAUAAAUCACAAUUACUGCUUCUGACUGUGGAGGCAGAGCAGAGACAACAUGGCUAGUAGUCACCAAUGUCAAUAUAAAUUGCUGGUGAACCUUCUUCCAAUGGUUCAAAUUGUAUCAGGACAUUUUCUCUAGAUUAGAGUCAGCAUGAAUUUAAAGAAAACAACUCAUACAUAAUAGUGCAGUUGUACAAAUCACAGCAAACUUCCUGAACACUGACUUUAUUGAACAAGUCCAUAGCACCAAUAUAAUUUGAUUUUCACAUAAUUGCUACAGAUCAGGAGAAAAAGGAGUAUUGAGAAUCAUUUCAAAGACACGAACAUUGCCAAAACGUACUAUAGGUAUUGGGAGUGGAGUAAGGAUUGUUAGAUGGCAAUGGCAUUUUAACACAGAUUUACAAGUGCCUGACAUUUCCGGUGCAUUUUGCAAAUUAAUUGAACUCAUAAUGUCAGAUGACAGCCUGGAAUUCAGAGUUAAAUGUUGUAUGAAAGUAUGGGAAUUCUGAAGCACGUCAUCAGUACACUGACAGAGCUGUUGUACAUGAUGGCUGAUUUUAAAUGGGACAUUGCCAGCUUUAGUCCCACAGUUAUCUGUAACUCUUUAAACCAAAACCAAAUGGGAAGGCAUAUUAGGUGCCUAUUGCCACAAGUAGUUGUCUCAAAGGUGCAUGUCCACUGUGACCAUGGACAUGCACCCCUACUCUGCCGCCCCACCACUGUCACUGCUGUGGGAACACGGAAACAGUGCUGGAAAGCAACAGUGAUGCAUGUGUGAUGUGACAUCAUAACAGGUCCUGUGUAUUCUUUAGUCUGGAGUAUAUCUGAUCCAAUCUCUCAGAGAACUUUAAGAAAAUUCUACGCCUCUCAGCUCUUAAUUCUGGCAGCUAUUUCUCCAGGAGUUUUGCAUUAUAUCAACAAUCACUGAAGCAUUCAAUUUUCUUUUUGCCAUGUUGAGUUCUAUUACUGUCCCCCUUGGUAGUCCCCACUUCCAGGAACUUAGAACGCAUUUCUUUCUCACACAGAUAGAAUUCGGUUUCGGUUUCACAGCAAACACAGCAUCUACAAGAUGGAGAUUCAAUGCAGGUUCAAAGCUUUCUUAUCAGUUGCAUUCUUUCAAAAUCAAGUAAUUAAUUUAGGCUUUUUGAUUUAUUUUCUAGCCUGCUAACAAAUGCUUUUUUGGCUCUCAGCAGCCCACCUGUGCUCUGGGUGCUAAUUAACUGGCAGAUAGAAAAUCCAAUUUGUAUUUACUUCCAGUCUUACUAAUAGUUAAAAGAAGGGGGUUUGUCAACCUGAAUUAAGGGCUAUUAUGUCAUUUGUGGUGCUGAUGAAUGUUUCUUGCUUGAGACGUUCCUCCACUCCCCAAAACUUUUGUCUCUGGCAUGAUGAAUGUCUUCUUCUGAGCAUGUGAGGAUUAUCCCUGAACUCCCUUAUCUCAAAGGGAGUUUUGGUAACCAAGAUUUAUACUGUGAUUAUCUAAAUCACCACAUAAUGAUCUCUGCUGACACUCCUGUCAGCAGCUGAUGACUAUUCCACAAUUUUCCUUCCCGGAAGUUCUCUGGAAGGGGAUUAUUUCAAUCACUGAUUAAAACCUUGGAAAGCUGUUCUGAGAUAGGCUAUACAGUGCCCAGUAGGAAAUCCUCAAAUGAGGAAGAAUUGUACUGAACAACAAUAGUGCUUGUGACUAAUCUCUGCAGUUUUUGGCUCUUCUGAGUCACUGUAUAAAUAAAUAUACUCCAACACAUGGUAGCUCUCAACAUGUCAUACUGGAACUGUGAUAAUCAAAAUGCAGAUAUUUUGGAUUAUUUAUUUCAUCUCUGUUUCAGUUUGAGCCACAGAAUAAAUGAGAAAGACUGAAUACAAUGGGGACCUAACUGGAACCUUCAAAGAGAACUCAAAUAAAUGACUACCUCCAAAGCAUUAAAACACUGAGAAGCAUUUUUUAAAGACAGCAAAGCAGGUAGGUGCUGAGCAAGUGCCCAGGGCAUUUGUGCUUUGAGUGGCACAAAGAUUAUAAUACAGAAAUAGCAGACUUUUUUUGUUAGCAUUAUAACACUUCUGCAGGUAGAGCGUUUCAGAAUACACCUUGAUAAAACCUAUUAGUUACACUUAUUUUCUUCCCAACUUUCAAGGAUCUUAAGAUCUGAAUUCACAUGAGCUUUCCAUACAUUUGCAGAAUGUGUGGAGGGGGUUGCAUGGCCAGAUGAGGUAGCCAUGCCCUCUGCCACUGCUCCACAGUCCCUUGUCAGUGUAUUCAGUGGGCAUUGGGGAAAAAAUCUAUCUGCAUACAAAUGGAUGGAUGUAAACCUCCUUCCAGUGUCCACCAAACAUGCAGACAUUGGCGGAUUGCAGUGGUGACAGUGAAGGAGGCUUUAUAGUCUUUCUUUGAAGGGUUUUCUCUGUGACCCCCCCACUCCCCCUGUUUUUAGAAUGUUAUCCUUUUUUUGCAUUCUGAUUUGGCUUCGAAAUGGUAUACAAUAGUGUGAUCAGAUUUUCUUGGGAGAAAAGCAAUGACAAACCUAGAUAGCAUCUUAAAAAGCAGAGACAUCACCUUGCCAACAAAGGUCCAUAUAGUAAAAGCUAUGGUGUUCCCAGUAAUGAUGUAUGGAAGUGAGAGCUGGACCAUAAAGAAGGCUGAUCGUCAAAGAAUUAAUGUUUUUGAAUUAUGGUGCUGGAGGAGACUCUUGAGAGUCCCAUGAACUGCAAGAAGAUCAAACCUAUCCAUUCUGAAAGAAAUCAGCCCUGAGUGCUCACUGAAAAGACAGAUCCUGAAGCUGAGACUCCAAUACUUUGGCCACUUCAUGAGAAGAGAAGACUCCCUGGAAAAGACCCUGAUGUUGGGAAAGAUGGAGGGCACAAGAAGAAGGGGACGACAGAGGACAAGAUGGUUGGACAGUAUUCUCGAAGCUACCAGCAUGAGUUUGACCAAACUGCAGGAGGCAGUGGAAGACAGGAGUGCCUGGCGUGCUCUGGUCCAUGGGAUCACGAAGAGUGGGACACGACUAAACGACUAAACAACAACAAGUGUGAUCAGAUUGGCUGCAGGACUGAGAGAUUAUAACUUAAUCACUGCAUCUUCCAGAAUCAGGCUAGACUGAGAAAGCCACAGGGUUACGUGGUAAACUUUAGGGUUGUGAGGCAAUUUGACUCUGUGUCUCUCUACUCUUAUUCCAACACACUAAGCACGGCACUAGCUUGAGUUACGCAUUCUUGAACCAUUUUUCUUUCUCCCUCCAAAAUUUAAUAUCAAUUAUUUAAAGGGUUUCCAGUCAGUAACAAGAAAAUGAUAUGCUCUACAAUCCUCCACACACUGUCUGCUGUUCAAAAGAGAAAGAAAAAAAAGAUGUUCUGGUCUUUGUGUGUCAAUAUUUUCUGUGUUUGUGGUGACUGAGUGAUGAAAGAUGUAAAGUGGGAUUCAUACCCAAGAAAGCAAUUUGUGGCAGGCAAUAAGGAACAUACAAAUGAGUUGAAGGCAGGAGAAGCUUAGGCAGAAAGAAACAGAAGAGUCCUAAUUUCCUAGCACAUUAGUAUUUGUAUAAUGCACUUUUCUUCCAGGGAACCCAGAGUUGAGUGAGAGGGGUCCCGUGUCCAAGUAGAACUCGGUGAUUAUACUUCUAACAGCCAUGUCAGGAAGAACAGGCUGAGAGAGAGAUAACUCAGGAGCCUUCAUAGAUGAGAAGGAAUUUUAGCCACAAUAUAUCCAAAACUGGACAUGAGCGGCAGAAGAAUAUUUCUAAAGAAUUCCCAGCAAAUCAAAGUGUUAGGUUGGUAGCCAAUCAGAUUCAAGGAGGAUUCCCCCCUCCCGGUUUUCUAUGUGCUGAUAAACAAAGUCAGCCAAGCUGGUAUAUGACAAAUUAAUAUUAUAUUAUAAUAUUUAAAGUUUGUGUGGAAAAGUAGCAGUUGUUUGGUAGGGAAGUUGAGACACCACAGAGCUCCAUUUCAUGUCACCUGAAACACUGAAUCAAAAACUAGUGAGCUAUUGAAGCGUGUGAACAGAAAAGAUUGUUGAAGUUCUCUUUGGAUAAUUUUCUUUUGAGGAUCCCAUAAGAAAACUUGCUGUUUAAUUUUGCGGGUUUAAUGGCAUUAAAUACCCCUUCGUUGGAAACACGCUGGGGAAAUAAAUAUCAUUGACCUAUUAAGUAAAAUAUUUAAUCUCUGGAAAAUGUUCCUUGCAUUCUGUCUAACUAGUGAGUGUUACCUGACCAAAUAGGAACAAGAGAAGAGCCUCGAUGGAUCAGGCCAAAGGCCUUCUCUUCUUUCAAUGGCCUAUAGGAAGCCCACAAGCAGGAGACCCAAUGCUAUUUAGAGACACAAUGUUCUCUCUAUGCAGGGCUGUCUUUACCGGGGGGGGGGGGGCAGGGAUUGUGGGGCACCCAACGCCGAAUUCUGAGGGGUGCCAGGCACCCACUGCUGAAGCCGCCUAAGCUCUUAACUAUCUACCUGUUAUGAAAUAAUAAAUAAUUUUGAUCAAGCUAGAAAAACAAAAUACAUAUAUACCUAGGUAUUACCAAAAUGUAUACCUACUGUUUCACUAAAGGACUUUCAACUUUGUGUGCUCAUUUACUAAAGAUGCGCCACGCCAGCGGCUGUGCUUGUCAUUCACAAUGGUGGCGCUUGUCAGACUUGAACACAGUCCCAUAGAGGCAGGGGAGUCUUUAGCAUAUGCGCUGCCGGGGUGACUGGGACAAACCUUGUUAUGCUGAAUUUGUAUUUUCCACAAUUUGUAUAUGGUGUUUGUUUGAUAAUGUGUGGUUUGCCUAACAAAGGAUUGAUUGAAGGACUGCCCCAGAUUGUAAAACCCUGAUUAAACAUGUUAAACAUGCAGUUGGGGAGAGGGGACCCUGGGGAAAUUGAGGGGCUGUAAGGCCAAUUUAAGCCUUUGGUGCCCUCAGACAGAAUGCCGGACAAUGCCACAGUGCCUCAUUACACUGGUCAUUACAUUACACUAGUCAUUACAUUAAAAUGUGCUAGAAUUUAGACAUUAUUUUUAGCAUCAAACGUACUUGGGAUUGGUUUCCUUUUUCUUUGUCCAGAGGCAUCACUACUUCUUAUAUUAUUUGUUGUGUUCUGAAGAGACUGGGGGUUCUGCAAAUGCUGGAAGGCACUUGCUGAUGCAAAGUCACAUUCACUUAAUACAACUGUAAAAAGUACAAUGAAAGCUCCCACUUCCAUAUCAUGUUAUUUUCUACUCUCAGCAGGCAACUGGCCUCUUUCCCCCCACCCUUGAAUGUGUAGCAUGGCCUCUCUUGGAUUAGAGAGAGAUGGAGAUAGUGAAGCAGUUCCCUCCCACGAAUAAUUGGCUGUUUCUCCCUCUUCUGUGAGUUGCACAGCUACACAAAGCAACUCUCCCCCUCCUCCCUUCCAUGGUUCUUCAUUUCUCAUUUGCAUAUUGACAGCAUCUCACUGUUUUCCUGAAUGGAGGAAAAGAAGAAUUAGAGGGAUGAGAUGAGACAUAACAGGUUGAGAAAAUUAAAAUGGAGACCGUCAAGGGAGAUGCGCUGAAUGGGGGUGGGGGAAUAUGAAAGUGACCAAGAAUUUCUGAUCCUUAAAAUGUGCUUGUGCAAACCCCUUUCAGAGGAAGAGUUUUUGUUUUUAUCAAUGGGGAGAACUCUGAAGGUUGUACAGAGAGAAUGGCAGAGAUGGGAGACAAUAAGGUAAAAGACAAGCAGGACGAGAUGCACGUUACAGGAAGAGACAGUCAGUGUGUGCCGGGAAAGAACUUUGAUAAGACAUGCAGCAGGUUUGGACGUGAAUACUUCUGGAAACAAGCAUGGAAAUCAAACAACAGUUUGAUAUCAGGGACUUUUGUCAUCAUUAAGAGGACACAAUGGCCAAAGUCCCAAAGGCCAUAUGGUUAGGUUAAGGUAAAGGUAAAGGGACCCCUGACUGUUAGGUUCAGUCGCGGACGACUCUGGGGUUGCCGUGCUCAUCUCGCUUUACUAGCCGAGGAAGCCAGUGUACAGCUUCUGGAUCAUGUGGCCAGCAUGACUAAGCUGCUUCUGGCAAACCAGAGCAGUGCUCAGAAAAGCCGUUUACCUUCCUGCUGGAGCGGUACCUAUUUAUCUACUUGCACUUUGACAUGCUUUCAAACUGCUAGGUUGGCAGGAGCAGGGACCAAGCAAUGGGAGCUCACCCCGUCGUGGGGAUUCAAACCACCGACCUUCUGAUAGGCAAGCCCUAGGCUCUGUGGUUUAACCCACAGCGCCACCUGCGUCCCAUAGUUAGGUUCAGUUUAUUUAAUUUAUAAAUUGCUUCCCACAACCAAAGUCUGGAAGUUAUUUGGAGGAAUAAAAUCCAGUAAUAAUUAUGUACAAAUUUAUUAAAAUCACAAAAAUGGUUCACUUGGUGCUGACAGAUGACAAAAUUCAAGAGAGUAUUCCAUAGACAGGGAACUAUUACAGUUCAUCAUCUUGCUGCCACCUUCCAGACCUCCCUUGGAGGUUCUGUGCAGGAAAGGGCCUCAGAUUAUGAUCUCAGGCUCUGGACAGGUUGAUAUGCAGAAAGGCUGUCCGGAAAUCCCUGCAAUAUUAUGAAGGGGCGUUCUCAGAUGGCAUGGGAAGGAGCUACUUUUGCCAAAGUAACGCCCAGAAUUGUGUGUCAUUUCUGUUAGCAGGCACCACUUACACAUUUGUGUCACUGCAUGUGGCUACUUUUCACAUGCAGAGCAAGCGCUCUUUAUGUGGCACUGGGAAAGGAGAUGUCAAUGGGCUGGGUGAAUCUGCCCGCUGCAGUUUCUCUUAGUUCCUCAUUUGUUCAGUUAUUUCCACAUCAGUUUGUAAUUUUUAAAAAUAGGCUUCAUGAAAAUUUACCAGAUCUUAGUGUGAAUUUCUUCUUAUAUAUACAUUUCUGUAUGUAUUUUGUGUGUGUUCUUCUCAUGAAUAUAUGUGGUUUAUGCAAUUAUUUUCCUAGUCUAUGAGUAUAUGUUCACAUUACUUGGCUUACUUGUCUGGAGAACUAACUGUCUUGCAAAAUUCAGAGAAGUGCAUAUUUAGUAGGAUAUAUUGGACACUGGUAGAUUGACAUUUAAAUGCAGACUGAAUAGAAUUUCUUCCCCCAUCCCUAAUGUGCUGUUAAAGACCCAAGUAAAGAAUCCCACUCAUGAAGUUGAAAUAUUAGCAUACAUACGUGGGACAACACAAUUUCCUGUUUGCUCAUCAGGUAUUAGCACUGAGAUAGGAAACAGGCAAGGUGGCUUCAAAUCCUGCAGAGAGAUUUGUGGAAUUAGGGCAAAGCUCACUUUUAGUGAUGGAACAGUUGUAGAGCACAGAUUCCAUGUCUAGUGAAAAGGACCAAAUAGUGGAUGAUGGAAGACUCUGGAGAGUCACUUCCUGUCAGCAAAGACACUAUUAUACAGACUAUAAUGGGCUAGAGAGACAACAGCCUGGCUUGGUAUAAGGCUACCAUUGUGUGAUUCACAGUGUCUGUGGGGGAAACCUUAUCUUCUGCUUGUGCAGCUGAGCUGUUCCUCCAUAUGUAUGGUGGAACUAGAAUAACCAGUGCUGCUCCUUUUUUCUGGAGGGACGCAGGGAUACACACACACCUAAACAUUUUGUGAAUUUAAUGGGAGAAGAAACUAAAAGUUUUUUUUAAAUAUUAGUUUCUUCUCUAGCACGGUGAAUCGUCAGUUCCAUUGCUACCCGCAACGGCGGCUUCAUUUCCUGUCACGGUGUUUCUUGAGCCUCAGAUGGAAUGAGAGUACCCCUAAAAGCACUGAGAAUAACUAUAAACUACAAAGGAUUAACCCAACAGAAUCCCAGUACAAGGACUCCUGCUUGCACAAUGGGGCUUUCUUCCCUCCAUGUAAAAAAAUAAAAUAAAAUGGCCUAGGGGGUUGUAAAAAAUAAUAAUCCAGAAUAGUGCACGGGGGGAAGGGAGGGAUAUUUAUCCACCAGCCAAACAGGAAUGUUUAUGUAGAUGGAAUGAUUGGCAGAGCACAGCAUUGAAUUCCACCCAGAAAAACAUUUGCCAUUCUCACUUGGAAUCAUCUGGUUGAUUAGCUUCAAUGAACUCUUCUCUUUCACCCACAUUUCUGCAUAGUGGAUCAUUUAAUAGCAAGUGUGUUUCCUUGUCAGAGAAAUAAUUAGCCAACCAACUGAUUCCCACUAUACCAGCACAAACCUUUCCUCGCCAAUUAAUUCCUUCAUAGUUUUAUAACAGCACAAUGUUGACUUUGGAAAGCCAAGGCAGCCAGCUUGCUUCAAAGGAAUGCUCAAAGUAUUCUACUUGCUUCCAUUUGUAUUCAUAUACUGUCCUAAUGAGUGCAAAGAUGAUUUGCCCCACACCACUGGAACGAAGGCACAAGACUGUAAAUUAAUUGAACUAUGGACCAACUUUAUUGACAUGUCUGAUUUGCAGCCUUCUUAACUAGUUAAAGACACCAGCCUUGCCAACUAGGAGCAUAUCUGAGAUUAUCCAAAGGAAAAGCAAUAUUCAUGCAUUAUUUGUGUGGAGGGCACUUAAGCACUGAAGCAGGAACUGCUGGUCCCAGCCACAAUGUCACACCGCUAAGCUAGCCAUACACCAGACACUUGUUUCCUGAGUGUGGAUAUCUAAAAAGGAGCCCCUGACUCUUGUUACCAUCUGCUAACAUAUAUAGAGUUCCUUCUUCAAUGUGUGAACAUCCUACAUGCGAGUGACAAAUGAUCAGAGCUUUUAAUAUCUUAUUAGGAGUUUGGCAGAGGGGCAGACUCUCCAUAAUCUCUAGAUUCAGUAACGAGCUAGAAUGUGAGAAAACUCAUAAGCAAAGUUUGGUUAAUUAAAACUCAGCCAAGCGCUGUUGCAUUCAGUUUAGGAUCACAAGCCCAGGCAGCUUCACAUAGCUAGCCAGCAAUGAGCCAAGGCAUUAAUAUGACAAAAGGUGUUGGUGACACUUUUCAUCAAAAAGGAAUCCUUGGGCCUGAGCAGAUAGAGGCUGACAACGUGACAGAGUGUGUAUAUGAAGUGAAAGAGGAGUGUCUUUGGCAGAGGCUUGGGUCUUGAACAAGGUGUGCUGGGAACAAAAAAGAAGAACAAGGACAAAACCAUCUUGGCUGUGACCAGAGAAGGGACCGGAAGCCAUGACUGCUGGUUUGGCCUCAAGCUGGCUGAGCUUUUGUUAAGUAUAAUUGGUUUAAUUCACACUGAAAUGGGAAUGCCUGUGUAUUGGUGAAAAGGUUUAACAAGGGGAUGGAGUCAGUUUUCAUGCAUCCAGUCAUUUCAAACUGCACAGUAUUAUGACAUGAUAUUUUAUUUUCACUUAUAUAUUUAAAAACAUUUAUAAACUGCUUAAUAUUUGAAAAUCUCUCAGCAGUAUAUUUUUAUCUCUUCUGUUGAAUAGCUUGAGUGUUGUCCGGAUUAGAUAAUGCAAAUCUUAAUAUUAAUUUAUAAGGGUGGAAACUCCCUGGGCAAAGAUAACAUGACCAACCAGAGUGAAGCCAAAGACAGACUGCUGUCUCUACCUAGUUCUCAGAUCACAGAAGUUACAUGCCAUUUGUUGGAAAGCUAUCAAAGCUAUCAAAUUCAUUUUAAAUUGGUAUAUAACAUGCAUGUACAGAAAUAUAGCCCGUAUGCCAGUACAAGUGUUUAACAAGUGUUCAUGGGGUUUAUAAGCAUUGAUUUUUACAUGUGGCUUUUCUUUGUGUACAUGGGUAGGAGUUCAUGUCAAUUCUGCUUCUUUAAGACAGGCCUAUAUGAAAAGGAAAGCGUUGGCAUUAGAACUGACUACAGUAAGGACGAUCACCAGGAGUGAUAUUAGAAAAUUCAUUUCAGCAUUUUAGGACAGGAACACCCACCCACACACCUCACUAUGGUACAUUGAGAAGCUGUAGCCAAACUCUGAUAGCACGACAAAAAAACAGCUGGUGAGGAAUGGGGAAGCCUUUCAAACACACAACCCCAUCAAAGUCAAGGGUGAUCAAAGGUUAGGCAAAGGGAAGGCACCACCUCAGGAGAUUUCAGGGGCAGUGAAUUUAAGAUAGCUUUCCAAAAUCUGUGAAGUGCCAACCUGUGUACAGCAUAUGGUAGCCAGCUCUUACAUGAACAAAACAUUGAUUUCAGUGAGCCUUGGAAGUGUGUUUAGCACUUAAUAAUGACCGUUAUGGUGCAAUAUCCUCACAUCUAGGGUGGCACUACACAUGAGUGUGCUCAUAUGCACACAUGCCUGUAUGGUUGGUGUCAGGAAUGAGCCAGCUCGAAGUGAAGGUUUGCAGCCAACUGCAGAAAGCAGCCAGGAACAGAGAAGCUUACAUGUUAGUGAGGCAAGGGAGAGCUGGCAGCUGCAGACUUCGGCGCUUCCUGACCUUGACGGGAGGGCUGAUAAGACAGUAGCUGAGAGCAGGCUAGAAGGUAGCCAAAGCUCUCAGGAAGCACAAACAGGAGCGAAUAGACUCAGAGACAGCCUCUUUGAACAGGAAGAGUUUGGAGCUGAUCCACUAAGUCAGAAGAGUCGGCGAAUGGGAGCGCUGCUAGAUAGGAAGCAAAACAAGAGACGUAAAGGUUGUAAGUUCAAUAUCUUAUGUAGAUGCCGGAAGCAGUCUUCAGAAGGGUUAUCUUGAGUCAUGAUGCCGGAGGCUUUGUUUGAGUUGUCCGGAGCUUUCUGUUUGUUUUUGCAAUAAAGCCUCCUUUUUAAUUACCUACGUUUACUGUGUUAUCAAGUAGGGAACCUGGACUCCUGACAGUUGGUGACAUUUUAGAGAAGGAAGAAAGAAGUGGACUUGAGAUAAGCUCUGUAUUGCACUAAUGCAGAGUUAAUGCAAAAAAUGAGUGAUAAUCAAAGGCAGAAAUAUCACCCAAUCUAAGCCUCUGUUGUGCUCACAUUGGUAGGGUAUGAUACACGUGUGGAGCGGAGGGCGACUUUUUCCUUUUUUAAAUUGGUCAUCCAUUGGCUCCCCCCAUUUCCCCUCCCAUUCAUCCUAAUGGGAGAAUGAAUAAGGAUACCACCUCCAGAAUGCUCAAUUCCAGGGGAGUAUUGCAGGGAAUGGAAGGGUAGGACUGCAGUCUUAGCCUCUUUACAAACAAUAACCUUAAACAUGUGUAAUGCUUUGAAGAGUUAUGGCCUCUGCAGACCCUCCAAGUGUCCCCAUUUUCCAGGGACAGUCCCAGAUUUACAGAAGCCGUCCCGAUUUAAGAUUUGAUCCCAGAAUGUCCUGCUUUUCCUUAGGGCAUCCCUAUUUUCAUCAGAAAAAUGUUGGCGGGGACAUCUCUACUUUUAUCAGAGAAAUGUUGGAGGGUAUGUGACUGUGUGGUAUUCAAUGUGCCUCUUUCAUCCUCAUAUAAAACAUUAUGAGGACUAGGUAGGUAGACAACUUGAGGAUUUUAUGGUCCGGCAGCAAGUUAAGGCCAUAUUGUACCAAGCACAUUGCAAUGGCUUCAUGAUUAGUAGGCAAACAAUAUCAUUCCUUUCAUUAUAUAUGGCUGCUGUUCCUGCUAUUCGUCUCGCUCCCCCAAACAAAUUACUUCAACAACACAAGACUAUGACAGAUCUUGAAAGUUCUGGUUUAUAGAAGUGUGCUUUUAUUUGCUAUUUUCCAUAUAAGAUUUCACUUGAUGUGUGUUGAUCAUGUAAUGCAUAUAGUCAUAACACCAUAUAUUAUAUUUUAAAUGAAGGUUUAUGCUAAGAAAAACUGGGGGGGCACAUUGUCUGCUUUGUUUGCCUAAUACAUAUUGUGUUGUUAAAAGAAGUAUCUGAGAAGAUACUGGCAGGGGAGAGCAACAUCACAUCCCAAGAAUCCCACAAAAGGGCAGUCAAGUCCACCAGACAUGGAGCUUUCUCAUUACAGUGUAAGUAAAUAUGCAUUCGUUAGCUUGUUCCCACUGUGACUUUCAUUUCUAUGGCUUCUUUUUAGGGGGGGGGACCCUUUCUUGGGGAAAAAACUGCAUAGCAGUGACCCUGGGUCUUUUGUGCUUGCAGAAAUCUGAAGGGGAAAAAACAUGAGAUUGACUUUUUUUCUUUGUGUCGGCAGCAAAAGCUGGAUGUGUCUCUAGCUAUUAUUUGCACAAAGAGGUUUAAAUGAAGGGAUGGACCACUAAGAAAUUUGGCUGCAUUUUGGGAAAUGUUCUGUAGCAAAUUUUCAUUGAUGUUUAUGUACUUUAAAAAAAUGUUGACAACUUGCGGUGGGUGGCAUCAAGACUGCAACCAGUGUCUUCCUGACUCCUCAAUCCUGAUACCAGAGAUUAAAUGCCAUCAAUACAUAUGGCAGGCAGAAUAUUGUAUUCAUUUACUACAUUUAUAUCCCACAUGUUCUUCUAAAGGAACCCAGGGAAGGCAAAUAUAUCAAUACAAAAACAGUACGAUGGAAGUUAAAAACUCCUAGGUUGGAUGUAAAGACAUCAAAGAAGCAUUUCAGUUAAACACGUUGUAAACUUUGUAUGAGAAAUCAUGCAUGGAACUCCACAGUGCCAUCUGGUGCCACAGUGUUAUACUGAAUAUACAACACAUAUAAAAUGUUUUUUUCUUUAUCAAUACAGUAGAAAAAGGUAAAGGUACCCCUGCCCGUACGGGCCAGUCGUGUCCGACUCUAGGGUUGCGCGCUCAUCUCGCUUAAGAGGCCGGGAGCCGGCCCCAUCCGAGGACACUUCCGAGUCACGUGGCCAGCGUGACGAAGCUGCAGCUGGCGAGCCAGCACCAGCGCAGUGCAGCGCACGGAAACGCCGUUUACCUUCCCCCUAGAAAGCGGUACCUAUUUAUCUACUUGCACUUGGGGGUGCUUUCGAACUGCUAGGUGGGCAGGAGCUGGGACCGAAUGACGGUAGCUCACCCCACCGCGGGGAUUCGAACCGCCGACCUUCCGAUCAGCAAGUCCUAGGCACUGAGGUUUUACCCACAGCGCCACCCACGUCCCCAUCAAUACAGUGGUACCUCGGGUUAUAUACGCUUCAGGUUACAUACGCUUCAGGUUACAGACUCCGCUAACCCAGAAAUAGUGCUUCAGGUUAAGAACUUUGCUUCAGGAUGAGAACAGAAAUCGUGCUCCGGCGGUGCAGCGGCAGCAGGAGGCCCCAUUAGCUAAAGUGGUGCUUCAGGUUAAGAACAGUUUCAGGUUAAGAAUGGAUCUCCGGAACGAAUUAAGUACUUAACCCGAGGUACCACUGUAUAGCUGAGUCCCUAGAAACCAUUGCCUACUCUCAAAACUAAUAAUUUCAGUGUUGCCAGGGAUAGGAGUUUUAGUCAUAAAAUGCCUGGAAAAAUAGAAAUAAUUUAAUAUCUAUCUGAAAAGUUAAUAAUGAAGGAGACUGACAGAUUUUAAUAGAGAGGGCAUUCCACAAAUGGGGAACCACUGCUCCUGGGUUGUUAGAGCAGGAAAGGAUAUGUCUAGUGAUGGGCUUUGUGUUCUCAAAUUUCUGUGGUGCCCUGUGCAACACUCAAAUUGGCACUUUUCGCCUCUCAUGCUGUGUUCUACAGCAUUGUUUUGGACAAGUUGUGUGAGUCUAAAACUGCCUCUGACAUGUCUCCCUUAUCCCAGUAUGUAUCCUGCAUUUCACUUUCAUGCUGAAGCAGAGAACUAAAAGCGCCAUAACUUCUAAGUGAUUACAGCCACCGUAUUAUGUAACAGAUGAAACUUCCCAGCAGACAUCAAGGGGAGUCCAUAGCAGAGCAGAACACAAGUAAUCCUGCCUUCAGGCUGGAAAAGCCAGUUUGGUGAUCCCUGUAACCAAAUGCACAAGACUGGGGAGUGUUAGGAUGACUCCCUCCCAAACCCCUCCCCAUUCAGAUAAAUUAAAUAAAUCCAUGGCUAAACCUCUCUUCCAAGUUACUUCUAAUGAAUUGUGUUUAAGGAUUCCCAGAGCCUCUCUGCAAUUUAAUACAAAUGCUCAAGAUUUUCUGGUAAGUAGCAGCGUUUCCCAGGUGAAAUAACAACAAGGCUAAAGGAGAAUUAUUGAAAUAAAGAAAAUGCCUUUUAUAGCUUUACAAUCUCAAACCAUAAUUAGUUACUUAUUAGCUGAAUAUUUAGACAAUAAAUUUGUCAUCCAGUUUUAAUUGUGUUUAGCCAAGAACCCAAGGCCACUGCCCAAAGAAAAUUAUGUGUUCUUAUCUUGAAUUGGCACCAAUAGGCCACAAGCACAAAUACUACAAUCCCAUUAAACUUAGUAGGGCUUAUUUCUGAUUAGACUUGUAUACUAUCCAUCCUAUUAAUGUCAGCAUGAUAUUGCACCUAAGCUUCUUCAAAACAACUAUAGUCAUGAAAAUCAACCUCAGUUAGAAGAUAAAUCAGAUUCCUUUCUAAGUUAGAAAGGUUUAUCAAUCUUACUGAACUAUCUCUUUUUUCCAGUGGUUUAAACAAUCAUUUUCACUUUGUAACUAUGGAGACGCACUUUAGCCUUUACAGUAAUCUGCUGCUUUUCCAAAGAACUAAGGGGACAUUUUUAGUGGCUGUAUAUCUGGACCCACUGAAGUCAGUUCUGUGAUAUAUUUUGGACACAAGACUGUUUAUCUUUACUUGCCCCUUUAACAAAUCAAGCCAUGCCUGCUUGUUGAUAGUCAAAUUUGCCCUUACAGUCUUGCCAUGACAAUACACUUAUGGGUGUUUUCAGUCAUAGUGUGUAAAUUCUACUGUUACGAUAGCAGAGCAGCAGGAUUCUAUUCAUCUUCAUGAGGGCUGCAUUAAAGCAUCCAGGCAGAUUAGGGAGACCUGCACUCUGUUUUGGUUAGGGGAAAGUAAGUUUGGAUGUUGAAUACAGAGUAUUUUCCUCUUGUCAAUGGCUUCGGAUCACUUGCUUCAUCCAUUUUGCAAUGUUUAUUGAGACAUAUUUCUUGUCCAUCUGACCCUUCUGUGAGAGAGUCCUGGUACUCUAAAACAACAGCAUGUAACUUACAUGGGUACCGCUAUCUUUAUAAACCAUUCUCAUAGGAAGCAAUUAAAGACCUAAAACAAAGGACUCAUAGUUUUAGAAGUACCUGAGACUGUGGAUUCUAAUUUUAAAAAAAUCAAUGCAGAUUGCAUUUUUACUCCCUCCUAGUCCUAUUGUAAGACCUAUUAAAAAGUAGAAAACAGAUAUUUUUUAGUGCACAAAUGAAUUCCAAAGCUGCACUCAAUCGAUGCUGAUUAGAUUUACAGUUUAACAGCCAUUUUUAUUGUUUUCGCUGGAGAAUUUUCUCCUCGAUUAUGGCUCUGGACAGAUCUAUACAGUAGGAAUUGCUUUAAUCUCAUAUACUGACAGUGCAACUGCCCCAAUACAAUGCAAUUUAGCUCUCCCCAAGCCAGUUUCCCUUCUGCUUUCUUACUUAUGGCAAGUCUUCCCAAGGUUUGCACACUGACUGACACCGUUUUGCACACAGCUCGUCCCCAGCUGCGAUUCCACUGAUCAAUUCCCAUCUACUGACAUGAUUGUUUGCAUCCCGUUGGAUUAGAAAACUGGCAUGCUUCAAUGGACAAUAGAGCUAUAUAUUAAAAAGCUAUCCCUCUGCCACUAUGUCUCCACUCUGCAUAGAUCUCUGUGGAAUCUAUGGGCUUCAAUUACAGGCUUAUGCAGGAAAAGCCAAUGAAUGGAUGAGAGAAGCUUUCUCUAUGGCACUACAGUAUAUAUUACUUACACAUCAAAAGGAACAGGUGACCUGCACUGUUUACUGACCAGAGACAUCACUUACCCUGAAGGGUUACAGCGUUCUGUCAGAGUGUGAUUAGGUGCAAUUCAUAACCAGUUUAAUAUUCUUAAAUGGAGUUUGAGUUUUCCUGCUGAGCUGCUCCAUGCCACAGAUCAAAAUUGUAUUAUGCAUAUUCUUUUCAGAAGGAUCCAAAUCUCUACAGAUUUCAUAUGCUUGCCUAGUAGCCUCGACCUCUGCAAUAAAAUAAUAAUAAUAAUAAUAAUAAUAAUAAUAAUAAUAAUUGCAAUGUUGAGUCAUUCUUCAGGAUGUCAAGAAUUACAGUAUAAAGUGUUUAAUUGGAAUCAGCACUUUGGCCUUAGAAAUGUGGAGAUAGAAAAACAAACUAAAUAUAAAACUGUCAUAAAGAAAAACAAGUUGGGGAAAGAUCAAUACUUGGAUAUUUACCUUGGUGUAUGUACAUGUGGCAGAAAUAAAAUGUAAAUUACUUCACACUGAGAAAGGGUGAGUGUAGAAGUGUAUAAAUGCAGCACACACUAAGGCUGCAAUCUCCAAGCUACUUACUCAGAAUUACUCCUAUUGAUUUCAGUCUGAAUGGGUAAUUGCAGAAUACUUAAUAUGGAGGAAACAACCAUGGCGUAGUCCAUUUUUGCUUUUUUAGAGCCAUUUGCUAUAUUAACUGUCAAGCCAAUACUGUUUGCUGAAUUGGAUUUGCAACACAGCUUUGUGGGUGAAUCACCAAUAGACCAAUACAUUUUUAAUUAAACAUAUUUCUGCUGCCAGCUAAAUAAUAGAGCCCCCAAAACAGCUCUCUCCUAGUGUGCUAGGCAAGGGGAUGCUUGAAUGUUAGAAUCACAAUCCCUAAUUCAGCACUCAGAUUUUGUUGUUGUUUAGUCGUGUCCGACUCUUCGUGACCCCCAUGGACCAGAGCAUGCCAGGCACUCCUGUCUUCCACUGCCUCCCGCAAUUUUGUCAAACUCAUGUUAGUAGCUUUGAGAAUACUGUCCAGCCAUCUCGUCCUCUGUCGUCCCCUUCUCCUUGUGCCCUCCAUCUUUCUCAACAUCAGGGUCUUUUCCAGGGAGUCUUCUCUUCUCAUGAAGUGGCCAAAGUAUUGGAGCCUCAGCUUCAGGAUCUGUCCUUCCAGUGAGCACUCAGAGCUGAUUUCCGGACCAUAAAAUGACCAUGGCUCAGCGGUUGCCCUGAGACAGGGACUUUGCGAAAGGCGCGUUGUACACAGGUCGCGGUGUGACUAAAAUGUAAAGGUGUCAAUUGCGCCUGGGCUGGUAUAUUAUCAUACGGACCAGCACCAAAGAGUUGUUUGGCUGAAUGCUGUGGAUCAGCCAGGGCUACUGCGCUAUGCUUAAAUUCACUUUCAAAAACCACAUACUGAGCCGGGGAUAAAAGCAUGCGCAUCAGAUCUUUCCAAUCUUGAGGUAGCAUUGUGUAACCAUUUGCGAUCCCCUCCAGCAUCCCUAGCACAUAAGAAGAUUUUAGGCCAGAAUCAGUAAUGGCUUUCCUUAAUUCUCUCAGAAUAGAAUAAGGAAGCGCCUCGUACAUAAUCUGUUGUUGUGCAGUGCCAGGGUUUGUAUAGGAGAUAGGGAAAGCAGAUGGCAUUUCCCCAGCCCAUCCAGCCUCUUCCUCUAAGGAGAGGAUUCCUUUCUGCCUAGCUUGAAAAAGCGCAGCGCACACAGCUCCUGUGGGAGAGCACGCAGGGGCUGAGGCAGGCGAAGGAGGGAGGGAAGGAGGAAUGGGGGGGUGGAUGUGGGCUGAGGCGUAGGGGGAGUAGGGAAGGUUGCGAUGGAGGCAAAAGCUUUGGGUAAGGUGGGGGAUUGUCUGCUGCGGCUAAAAGGGCAGGGGCCGGAGAUGCCUGAGAUCCUAACCUAGCGACGGCAUCUGCACACUUCUGCCAAGUGAGCAGACAAUGAAUCGGUGCCCUCGGUUCUGAGAAGAGGGUUGUUCCAAUCUUUUGCCAAGCUUCUGUUCCCAGAGAGCCUGACUCUGGGUACCAGGGGCACUGGCAAGCAAUCUCACUUAACAAUUGUUCAAUUUCUUUCAAAGAAAUAUGCGCACCCGCCACCCUCUGUCUGACUAAAUGGAGCAGCUCCUUGGCAUGCUCUUUUUGGAACCUUGUAAGUCCCCCCCCCCAUACUCACGAAGUAGCGCGCUGAGACUUUUCCAGUCGAGUGAAGUAUCGAGGCUGCGUAAAGGGAUCUGGCACGUCGGAAUCACGUCGGGGUCACCAGAUGUUGGGUUGAAAUAAGCGACAGACAAAUGGCAAGGUGUCAUACGGUAGGCAUCUACCGAGCAUGUCUCGGCGAGUCUCUUUUAUUGAAUAUUACAGCAUUACCACAUAUGUGCUUGUUGCUGAUUGGUUAACACAAAUACAAUGCAAGGGCAUUAAUCAUAAAGGUUGGGAAAGGGAACACAUGGUUACUAGUGAUUGAUAUUGCAUGACUUGAAAGAACAUAACAAUCGCAGUCCGUAGAUGUGGUCAAUAAUGCAUUAAGAACAGGUCAAGGUACACUGUUUCAUGAACUCAAUGGGAACUGAUCAGAACAUUCCCAGGCCCAUGCGCAGAGGCAGAAACUUCCCAGCACAGCACUAACUCACAAAGUGCCAUCGAAACGACCUCUAUAUUCAAAGAAGCAAAAUGGCUUAGGCCUACCUAGGGAUCACAGUACUUCCUCCCAGCUGGUCUUGCCCCAAUGAGGCACUUGCAAAGACUGAAGAUCCCCAUCUUCCCACAGCUCUCUAAGGCUCCUCCUUCUCUGGAGCAAUCUGAGGCUUCUUCAUCUUGUCUCUCAUUGCUCUGUCCUCCUCAUUCCUCUAUGUGUUCUGGGAAACCGGAAGGGAGGGGAGCUAGUCACUGCAGGAGGGGGAGAUUCCUGACUUCCUCACCAACCUGACUCAUUGCUGCCUCUUGGCCCUCUUCCCCUCCACCCUCUGCUUUUGCCUAUGGACUACUCUCUGCAAGAGUUGCUUCCUGCUCACUAAACCCAGUUACCUCUUCAGCUUCCUCCCAGUCGGCUCCCACUCCUCUGCCUGUCCACUCAUCGUUUCCCACCACCAAUUCCCCUGACUCUGAGCCUUCUUCCCUUGCAGGUUCCCCAACUGGUGCCUCCUUCUACACCUCUGCAUCCAGCCAGCCCAUGGCAUCAGGUGGUCACAGGUUCAAUUCCUGGCAAAUCGAGGUUGGGCUGGAAAUAUCUCCUAUUUAAAAUGCUGGAGAGCCACUGCUAGUUAGUGUACACAAUAUGGAGUUGGAGGGACUGGUGGUCUGAUUUUAUAUAAGGCAGCUUCCUGUGUCACCACUGAUAGGACUCACUUCCCCAAUUCCUUUCUUCUUUAUUUCGUUAUCAUAAACUAUUAAAUAUCGGACAUAACUAGAUGGUGCCAUCCAAAUGUUUUGCACUAUGGUGCUGUUGUUCCAAUCAUCUCUGACCACUAGCCAUGCUAGUGGGGCUGAGGGGAAUUUUAGUAUUUGUUUAAAAAAAAUAAUCUGGAAGAUAACAGGGUAGGAAAGACUGAUCAACAUCACUGAGCUGGAACCAGAUACUAUUUAAAUAAAGCAGAUAAAGAAAAAAAAUGGAUAAACCUUGUUCAAAUCCAGAUCGCCCUACAACUAUCUUAGCUCUGAUGGGUUUGGUGAAAAUUCGAUAUUUCUUCAAAUGUCACUGAAUGCGGAAAUCAUAAUUAUUUAAUUAUGUUUAUAGAAUGGGGGAAUCUCUCUCUCUCUGUGUGUGUGUGUGUCUUUGUCUGUGUUUUUUAUCUAAAUGCUGUUGAUGUAUGUGAACUAGAUUACUAGUUGAAAUUGGCUAACAGAAGGCAAGAAAGCAGCUGAAAGGUGAAUAAUUCUGAUUGCUUGGGACACUGGAAAUGACUUUUACACCAGUGAUAUACAUGCAUGCACAAAAAUGUCUCACCUGGAUUGUCUGUCCAUGGAUGGAUUGCUUCAAUAUAUGUAUCUACAAUUUCCGUCCUGCUGUCUGUUAAUCCAGACUGUCUAGGUGGGAUAUUAGUUCACAUUUAGGCAUUGAUCGGGCAGGGAUAAUGUGUGCCCAUGCAUCCAAGUAGAGGAUCAAGCCCUUAACGUGUGGUGCCGCUAGCCAUAAAUGGAUUAAGCUGCUGGAAAAGCGACAGGACCAUUGAGCAGUAAUAUCCAGGGAUGACAUAAAGAGGGGUGUUUUUUGUUGUUCUUUUUCUGUUUUGCUAAAGUAAUUUAUUACCCAUGAAUGGUGCCAAGCAAGUAGAAAUGAGAAGUGAAUCCCACAGAACAGACAGGCGCUUUUAGCUACAAAAAUAUUUUGUUUUAAGCAAAAUCUAAAGAAAAAACAAUCUGUUUUCACUGAGAUGGGCAAACUGUCCUACAUCUGAGCCUAUAUUAAUAACUAAUCAUAAUGGUAACCUAGUAGUUUGGUCAUCUCAUCCUACCAAGUAGCCAGAAGGUUUUUACCACACAUUUGGUGAAGAUGCAUGUAUUCUGUAUCGUCCUGACAAAUGAGGAUACUUUAUCACAAAUUUGGUAAAGAUUUGAAAUAUAAUGUGUGAUUGAAUAGUCAUCUCCAAAUUACAUAGAUUCUUGCUAUGCAUAUUUUCAGCUAACUUGUUGGCUUAUAAGUAAUAAGGUUGCUUGGGAAAUUCGAAUCAGGGGAAUGCUUGCCUAAAAAGAGGUGUCUUAAUGAGCCUGUGGGGUGCCUGUAGGAUAGCAUUUGGCUAUCAAAUAUUUAAUAACUGAAUGAAAGAUUGGAUGAAAGUUGGUGUAGAUAUUCAUAAAACCAUUCAUUGUUUCAUGUUCAAAGGCAAACUCAAAUCUCAUUGUCAUUUUCAGACUAUAUUCUAAUCUGAAAUCUGCAGUCAGCCUUCAAACACUACUAGAUUUACAUUAUGAUUUUUAUUCUUUGGUCUUGUUCUGAGUAGGCAUAAAAUUUUGUAUCAGUCCUUAGAUAGCAUCCUAAGGGUUACGAUAUGAAAUGUUUCAUGUUUCAUCCUGGACCUAUUUGUUCCAAAGUGAUCUCACUGACAAUAACAAAAAAAACCACCCAUGUUAACAGCACAAUAGAUAGAUAGAUAGCUUAGUGUCAAUUAGAAGAGGGAUGAAUUGCUGAAGAAGAAACAAAAGAACUGAAGAACACAUCUUCAAAUAGAUCUCUCAGUAAAUUGAAGUUGUCCAGAGGACCAAACAAAAGCCAAUCAGUAGGUGUUCGGAAUCUAAAACUAGAGAUGAUAAGGCAAUCAUCAUGGUGAAAGUCACAAUGCAAUGCCAAUUUUGAUUCAAGUUGUCGGCCUAGAAAAGAAGAGAAAAGCCUCAAUUGACUUUUAGCAGAAUUAAUCCAGAUUCUUCUUGCUCAAUUGGGAAAAAAACCCUGAUCUGACUCAUAUGGUAUCUUAAAGUGGACUGAAGUUACACAGAGAUCAAAAAGGUUAAAGUUUAAUACAGAAGUCCAAGGCUCUAAAAUGACCAAUUAGGCAUCGCCCAAAAUUAAGACAAAAGAAAUCACAGAUUUGCAUAAAAUUAGCAGCAAAUUUAAAAAAUAAUAAAAAGCAAUAAAAUGACAAAGAAAAAUACAGUGCAGAUCUUCCCCUAUCAAGGGAGAUUGUGCCCUGUGUGCCUGCUCUAUCUGCUGUCCAGGAGAAAAUUAUGAAAAACAAACUUCAAGGGCAUCUUGAUGUUAUAACUUUUUAUCCUUAAACUGCACUUGCAUCAGACAUCGUUCCAAAGAGAGGACUGCCCUCUGACAGACAUUGAGAUAGAGGACUGUUCCCUGUAAAGCUGGACCCACGGUCACUCUAAUUGGGUCAGUUCCCUUUUUUGCUUGAAUUGAUUGCUUUAUUUUGCUUCAUUCUGCUUUUACCUGAUCAACAGAAGGUGACGGGAGAGAGCCUUUGUGUUUUCCUUCAUGGAAUGGCAGGUUCCACCUAAGAUCCUUCAUAAGGGAGCUGCUUUCAGAUGAAGGGCUUUGAGGGGACAGGGACUCUGUUUUUUCAGCAGAGGAAAGGUUUUGUCUUGUCCCAUUCUCCAGAGAGCUUUCAUAAGAUAGUUGCUCUUCCAGAAGAUCUUUCUUGGCAGGCUUUCUGGCCUUUGAUAGAUAGAUAGGUAGAUGAUAGAUAGAUAGAUAGAUGAUAGAUGAUAGAUAGAGAGAUAUAGAUAGAUAGACAGAUUUACUAAUUUGUGUGUGUUUAUAUAUCUAGAUAUGUAUAUGUAUAUGUGUAUAUAUAUGUUUGUUUGUUUGUGUGUGUAUACAUUUUUCACCCUGUAGUCCUCAAAGCAGCUUACAACAAUGAAAUAUGCAAUAUACAAUAUACAAAAUUUAAAAGAUAAAUUAAACCUCCAACAUGUAAAACUCAAGAGUUUACAAUUUCCAAAAAGAAAAAAGGAAGUACGGUAAAAUAUCUGAGAAGCAUUCAGAAUGCAAGACCUCUUGAAAUAAAACUUUAUUGACCAGGAGUCUGAAACUCAGCCUAUCCAACUUCUCAUGGGAGGGUGUUCCAUAGAGAUGGACCCACAUCACUGAAGUACCAACUUCUCAUUGACACGAGUCAUGCUUCUGGGCCAUAGGGAACCACUAAUAAUUGUCCCCCUGAUUAUCUCAGUGAUCGACUUGGGGUGUGCAGGAUAAAUCAUCCUGGGUAUCCUGGUCCUAACUUAUUCAGGGUUUUGUACACUAGUACAAAAACCUGGUACCUGGCCUAGUAGUAGAUGCGAAGACAGUGCAGUUCAUGUGGUGGUGGGGAGUCUGUUCCAGUUACCAGUUUAGCUGUGGCAUCCAGCACUAGCUACAACUUCCAGACUCACAUGGCACAUGUUCAGUAAUCCAUUCAUGACGUUACCAACACAUGAAUCACACCAGUCAGGCUAUUCCUUUCCAGGAAUGGCCAUGGACUGGGGUGUAUGCACUAAGUACUAAUAUCAGCUUUGGGGGCAUUUUUGGAUGUGAAAUUAUUGGAUAUUUUUUGCUUUACCUGUUGAUCAGCUCACAAAUAUUGAUGGAUGUUAAACAACAUGUUCAUGGGGCAGUGCUUAUGCUUUUGUAUUAUGUAUUGUACUGCUAUAUUGAUACUGUUUUGUUUUUGAUGUGAACCUCUUUGAGCACAGAUGUAUUUAUGAGAAAUGAGGUAUAUAAAUAAAUUGGCAAUGACUACCAACCUCUGGGAUCUGAGCUAUAGAGUGCACCCCCAGGUGUGAAUUUGGCUAACCACAGCCCAGGCCCAACCCUGACAAAGUUACCAGAAAAAUUCUAUACCACAGUUACAUGGCAUGGAAGUCUCUUUGCACUAGUAUUUGGUGUGAGGACAAUUCAUCAUGGAUUAAAGGGCAGAACUACAUCAUUCAGGUAGUUUGGCCUUUCAUAACUGUUCCCCCCCUUUUUUUAAAAAAAAGCCAGUGUAGAUGGAAGAUGAGUUCAGACACCCCCUUUCAGGAAUCCUGACAACAACUCCCUGAGAGGAGCACAAUUUGGACCGGGGGCGGGGGGCAGUCCCUGCUUAAAAUAUAGGUAAAUGUGUUAAUCUGUUUGCUUCUUUUUCUGGUUUAGCUGAAACAAGAUUUCAUGCUUCUCAAACCUUAAUACCUCUGUGAUGUUCCCAUAUCUCCAUGUACCAUUAUAGGUCAUAUACUGCAGGUUCAUGAUAGUGAAUGUAAUUUAGCAGUAACUUUAAUAUUCAUUUUUUCCAAUUUAGAAUGCCUAUACUUAUCCCUUUAGAUUAGCUCCUAAUUAUUUCCCUGAUAGAACUUAAGUUGUUACUGUCCACGGACAUAACGUAUAAAUUAAACUACUCAUUGCUUUUGAGAAAUUUAAGUUAUUAAUGUGCUCAUCUCAGCAUCCCUGUUUAUUUCCUUUCAUUAUAAAUGAUUUAUGUGAUUCAUUAGAUUCUGGUAAUUAUCAUUUUCGACCCAUAACUCUGUUAUUUAUGCAAGCUCUGCUUCUGUUGAUGAAGUGCACUGCGAUUUACAAGACAGGUUUGAUAAGUUGGAUAUACAGGAUAAUGAAGCCAGACAAAUUAUCUUUAAAGGACAAUAAGGCAUGCUGUAUUUUAUUCCAAGAAAUACUGUAGCUGAAAAUAUAUCAUGAACCCUUUUCACAGAACUGGAACUACUAGAAGAACCUCUCUUCAAAUAAAAUCCCAAAAAGAAGAGAAUUACAUAUCUUAAAACAACAACACUGAGACUUUUAUAGACUAAACUAAUGGAUUAGUAUGAAUAGUUUUGAAAAUUUGCCAUAGGUGUUAAUUGGGGGGAGGGGGUGGAACCCUAGUCCCAGAGAUGAAACAUUGAUUGACUGACUGAUUGAUUGAUUGAUUGAUUCAUUGCAUUUAUAGCCCAACUGGAGCUCAAGGUGCACCCUAUCUCCCCUCUCUUAUAUCAUAACAAUAAAACAAUAAUAUCUAAUUCCUUCUGUUGCUCAUAAUUCAAAUCCUGCUCACAAAUUCAUGAUGAAGAGCUAUGAGAGGAACUCUUAACAUGAUACCAAAACACGUGGGUGAUAUCCAGCCAACUCAUACUCAGAGUAGACCUAUUGAAAGCAGUGGGCUUAAGUAAACCAUAUCUCAGUGCAAUCCUAACCAUGGCUGCUCAGAAGUCAGUCCUAUUUAAUUCAAUGGGGUUUGCUCCCAGGUGAAUGGGGUUAGAAAGGAAGUCUAAUUUAAGACAAUUGAUAUCAGUGGGUUUACUCUGAGUGUGGUUUAGCCAGAUUACCAUCCAAUAUUUCCUCAGCCAUUGAAGAUGUAACUGGAUUUGGUAUGGCAUAAAGUUAUUUAUAAAGAAAAAGAAUGCUCUUUCUCCAGCUAAAGCCAAAAUUAUGGGAAGCAUCCAGUUUACCUUUCAUCAAAUACUGAGCUAUUAAUAGAUGCAUUUAAUUUAAUUGAAAUAUGUAGUAAUCCCUUUGAUGCCUGCCUGUGGAUUGCGAAGACUUUUCUCAGCGCAUUAGACAAAAACACACACAUUACAAAUCAUCUUGCAUAUAUAUAUAUAUAUAUAUAUAUAUAUAUAUAUAUAUAUAUGCACAUGCACCCUGAGAACAGGCUUGACUGCAUACUGAGACUGAAAUCAAUCUCCCUGCAGUGAACAAGCAACAAAUUGCAUUUAUGAUAGUGUGAAUAAGCUAAAGGUGAAAAGGCCAAUACAGCUUUUCAUGCUUUAUCAGUAGUUUGAAAGGUAAUACUCCAAAGCAAGGCUGUUUGAGUACUAUGAACUUUCUUUUUAAUUAACUACUGUAUACGCGUAAUGGGAAGCCUGAAUUCUGCCCAUACAUGAGAGUUUUAUGGAAAUAGAAAUGAAAGUUCAGGCUUUCAUUGUAGAUGAAGCAAUAUCAAAGGCUUCUGGUUUUUUUUAUUUCUCCCAUUAGCUGUCUCUUUGAAUGGCAGAGCUGAAAAACAAGGAUGACCUUCUACAGAGAGAUGUAGCUAGCAAGAUAAACCCUUACCUGGGUAAAACUUAUAUUUGCUUCACCAGCUUUUUCAUUUUAUUUCAUUGUCAGAGUAAGGAGGUAAUCCUGCAGGCCAGCUGAGGUCCCAUUGGAAGUGAUAUCAGUGCUGGUCUGCUGGUGGAGAAGAGGUCCACAAGCACAACUAGUGCUGUGCCAAUUUUUUUUUUUCCUGGGUUCUGCCCUUCCCAACUGCCCUUCAACAAUUCAUAGGAAAUUACAUGCAAAUUAUCCAAGGAGGAGAAAAACUGAUGAAUGGGGUGCAUUAUAUUUUAUACAUGCACUAUCUUGUUUUCAUUGUGGCAAAGUGGUAUUUGUGAGUGUCCUUCCAUUCAUCCUGCAAAUCAUCCACCCAGUUGCCUGCAGCCUUCCUGGGUGCUUGCCUUCCCUGAAAAUUCAGCAGCAGCAGCUGGGCUUUCUUGUAAGCAUCAGAAGGUGGGGGGACUUCCUACCUUAUGCCCAACAGCUGUUCUUUCUUUAUUUUUCUUUCAGUGAUGUCUUUUUACUUUUAAAGAAAGUGUAGAUUUUUUAAAAGAAACAUAAAAGGAAGAGCUUCAAUAAAAUAAAAUAAAAACAGUAAGCACCAUGAUCAUGUUUUGUUUCAGUAAGUGCAAACUAGGUGGUUUAUUCAUAUACCAAUUGAUCAUAAGGAAACCUUGCAGCAGUAAACAUUACAAUUCUCAGUAAAAGUAGGCAUAUAAUCAUAUGGAUGUACACAAUUCCUGGAAGCAGUUUGUAAUGAAGAUUUGUCUAUUCCUUUCCCAGUCUUCCUUUCUAGACUUUAUAAAGAAGUGCAACAUAGGAAAUACACUGCGAAAGAGAGAGAGAAAAUAGACAGUAGCAAAAAAAAAAAAGAAACAAAACACAUGUAAUUUCUACAUAGCUAGAUAGGCUAUGUAGUCUGGCUGAUGUCAAUAGGCAGGGAGUUCCACAGCAUAGGUGUUGCAGCACUAAAAGAACAAUUUCUCACAAGCACAGAAUGACUAAGAUGCAGCAGCUGUAACAGUGCCAGCUCCACAGAUUGAAGCGGUCAAGUGGGCAUAUAUGUUUAAAUGCAAACAGAAGUCUAUGAGCACUUGAGUGGAUACCCCCAUUGACAUUAAAGACAAUAAAUUCCCGGAUCUGCUAAGAUCAGUGAAGAAGCACUUGUUCUUUAAGGAGCUCCAUGUGUAUUUGGGAGCCCCUGGACUAAGGUUGUUAUGUAUUUAUGCAUUCUUGUCAAGCACAGUGCAAAGCAGGUCCAAGCUCAAUAGAUGUGAAGCUCCUUGGGUGGUACUAAGGCAGUUUCUAUCAUCCUCAUAAAUACAGGGUUGUUUUGAGGGGGAAAAUGGUAUGGGGGCACCAUGUGCACUUCUCUAAUCACACCCCUCUGACAUGUUGCAGCGGAAAACCAGGACUCCUUGGAGCCUUGUGUGGUGUAGUGGUUAAGAGUGGUGGACUCGUAAUCUGGUGAACCAGGUUCGCUUCCCCGCUCCUCCACAUGCAGCUGCUGGGUGACCUUGGGCUAGUCACACUUCUCUGAAGUCUCUCACGCUCACUCACCUCACAGAGUGUUUGUUGUGGGGGAGGAAGGGAAAAGAGAUUGUCAGCCGCUUUGAGACUUCUUCGGGUAGCGAUAAAGCGGAAUAUCAAGUCCAAACUACUACUCCUACUCCUCCUCCUCCUCCUCCUCUUCUUCUUCUUCUUCUUCUUCUUCUUCUUCUUCUUCUCCUUCUUCUCCUUCUUCUUCUUCUCCCACAUGAGUCACAUGACCUGUGAAAGAAAACGAUGCCCAAAUAUGGCAUAGUUGAGGGGUACAUAAUCAUUUGGUAGUGGGGAUUAGGGAAGUGUACAUAGCAAGAAGUGUACAUGAUAGAGAAUGUACAAGAUGACUGCAAAUAAACAAAUAAUAAAGUGAAAACGCUCCUUCAAAUGUAUGCUCUAUUCCAGUCACUCCAUUAUAUUUAUUCCCCAGUUUACACAUUUAAAGGCAUGCAGAAGAAUGAAUCACCUGAAUCAAGUUAAAAAUAAAUUAGACCACUGACAUAAAUGGAAAGGCAAUUGUUUUGAAGUCUGACAUUUAAAACAGUGUUUGGGGACUUUCUUAAACACUUUUCCAUUUAAAUAUUUCCACUCCAUUUGCAAUGAAUUCAAAUAACUCAUUUAGAUUAUAAACGUGCACAAUGUCCAUAUUCUUUAGCUUGUGUUUAUCCUAAAAAGGUGACACAAUGAAUUAAAUAGUGUGCAUUAAACUUGGCACGAUAAAGAGAUUUCCACUCCCUCUUCUUGUUAGUCCAAGACAAGGAGGUGAACAGCCUGAUCCUCUAAAUGGACCAUAUUAGGGGACGCCACAGGUACUGCCACUUGGUGCUACUAACUGCAAAAGGAUUGCACCUUCCUGUUAAGCAAAGAGGCCUUCAGAAAUUCUUGCUGUGCAAAUGAUCAAUUUUUUGUGUUGGCUUAGAGGGUUGAUUCCACAUGCUCCUAUUUGAUGACCACAUGAAAUGACAGUAUGUCCUUUUCAGAGCCUUGCUUCCCACCUGGGUGAGCUGUUCAGUUUUUCCUCCCCUCCCUAAUCAGGUACAUGACUUCGACCUUAUCAGACACAUAAAAGCUCCAUAGUGACAACUGUAUGGCUGGUGGAGAUGCCUCUUUCUGUCAAUAAUUCAGUGUGAAGUGGAGGCAGAUUCAUUUAAGCAGAGAAACUAAACAGCUUCCUACAAUUUCCUGAAUAUCCACGAGGCCACUGAAAAAAAGCCAUACACUUUGUUCCAUAUAAAACUUUUCUUUGAGUUCUCCCAGUGUGGUGUAGUGGUUAAGAGCAGUAGACUCAUAAUCUCGUGAACUGGGUUCGCGCCUCCGCUCCUCCACAUGCAGCUGCUAGCCCACAUGACCUCGGGCCAGUCACACUUCUUUGAAGUCUCUCAGCCCCACUCACCUCACAGAGUGUUUGUUGUGGGGGAGGAAGGGAAAGGAGAAUGUUAGCCACUUUGAGACUCCUGAAGGGGAGUGAUAAGGCGGGAUAUCAAAUCCAAACUCCUCUUCUUCUUCCCUAGUGGGACACUUCUCUUUCACCCUUCCACUCAUGACCUUUCAAUACUCCCCCUCAGUUUUGGGGCCUGUUCUAGUCCCCAAAGCAAUUUUUCUAAUCUUCCCUCCCAAAUACCUGACCAAUUUGGGCAACAGUGUCAAUCAAUCAAUCAAUCAAUCAAUCAAUUGGACCCAGCAUGGGAGUCAGUGGACGGGAAUGCAAAUCGCCCCUCCCCAGUAAUCUGAUCAAUCCUCUGAAGAGUGGGGUGGGGGUGAUAGUCACCUUUCUCAGCUGAACAGCAUUGUGAUCCCCAAAGGGUUGGCCAAGAAGGAUGUUCCAUGCUUGCCCGCCCCUUCUAUAUGGGGAGGAGGGAGAAUGCCAUGGUGUACAAGCAAGGGCACAAAGGGAAGAGGGAAGAAAUUCCUACUGCCUGGCCCUGUUUCUCUUUCCACCUUUCCCAUUGUGUGAAAUAUCUAGAUGGGAACGGAGAACAAUAGGUGUGCAGAGUGAAUUCAAAUAACUCAGAAGGUUGCAUAUAAAAUAGUGCUAAGCAAGGCAUCCGGUCAGUAGAAUGAGUUUUGCUUGCACAAUGGGUCACCACUCCUCUUCCACUUGCACCCCCUAAACCUGUUUUCAGAGUUCCCCCACCCCUCCGUAACAUAUGGGGGGGGGGGAAGUGUUAUUGUGCAAGCAGAAAUCUUUGUGCUAAUCCUUGUAUUAGUUUGGAUAUUACCCAAAGUUAAUUGAGAAAAAGAACUAGAUGAUCAUCUGAAGAGGCAGGAGGGGAUGGUUUUCAUGCCCACAGCAGGACUGAGGUUCAAGUAUCCCCACCCAGCCCAGACCCAUCAUGAAGAUGAUGAUGACUGAUGAAGAUGCUGGUGCAGCAGUGGGACUAGGAGGAGGCAGGUUCUUCUUCCUUCCUCUUAAGAUCACUCUGGAAGUGCACAGGACAUUCCUGUAGCUGCUGAAAAAAACAAGAAAUCCUGUGAUCAUAAUUGCUCUGGUAUGAGCAGUUUUCUUACCUGGCUCCAACAAGCUGUCCUAGGGAUACAUACCGCUGUAGGUAGCUGGUAGGCCAUUUUUUGGAAGAAAGGUUUUGUGGGCCAAAUUCGGCCAACAGGCCAGCAAUUCCCCAUCCAUUUUGUAGUUCAAUGAACCUGCUCACCUCUCUCUUUUCCCCCUUAUACUUACAACCACAAAUUGUGGUUCGAGGGCCCAAUUCCCGCUUAGUGAAAUGAAGACACACGGACACGUAAUAUAAGGUUAAUGGGCAAGAAAAGGCCACAACUUUAUUGAUUACAGCAAGUGAAAAGUUAUUGGCUUAGGCAUUGGAUCAUGACAAUUGACUCCACCCACUCAGAGAGGGGUGAGCCUAAAAAGGGGGGGUUAUUCACCAGUAGGUGGAGCCUGUUGAUGCUAAUACAACUAUAAGCUCUCCCCUGAUGUCACCGAGGGUCGUGCCAUGGCCCCCCACCACACAGGCAUCGGACAGGAUCCACGACUGUCAGAUUCCUUCAACGGAAUACCCAAAAUGGAAGGCGUAGGCGAUGGCCACACCUAGCCCUUCCACACACCACAAACACAUUCCAAUGCCUAACCUACCCACCAAUACCAAGAAAGUUGUGACAAUUGCUACUAGGUAGGCGAAAAAACCACAAGGCCUAAUGCCAAAUGGAAAAAUUCCUACCAGGCCCCCUGGACAACCUGGGCGACCAACCUAAGGUCCAUAGCAAGGCCAAGAGAAAAAACUAAAACCCUGAGCUCUAAGGGAGUGGAGGGUGGGUGACUCGCGACAGGAAGGCAGAAAAUGAGGCCGCGUGGCUGGCGCAGCAGCAAGUUAAGCUGCAAACCACGCCCCCUCCAAGCCACCUGAUUGGGGGUUUACCUGUGGGCAUGGUGCGCCAGCCAGGUGAGUGGGGGGGCAGGGGGCAUAACGCCCCCUGCAUGAGGCAGACAUCGGGUCCCACCCACAACCCCUCCCCUCUUUGCAAGAGGAGAGGCUUUUUCAAAAGGAAGUUUAACUGAGCAUUUUUCUAAUAGUUUGAGAAUCUGAGCUACUUUAAUUUUUUUGGGGGGGGUGGAUUAAUGGACAACAUCUGUUCCCUGAAACAGUUUUCAUUGCAGAUUUUAAAAGAAAAUUCAAGCCAACAAAAACCCUUCUGAGAUUUAUUCAUAUAAAUGGGUUGUAUCUAUAUUAAUUAUAGAAGACUAAAUUCCAGGAGUUAGCUACAAUUGCAGUCUUCGUACUUGAAGAAUAACAUUAGAAUGAUGCAGCUGUGUCUUGGACUGGGAAUAGAAAGAGAAGAAGAUCUAUUCUAGCUAUCUGUAUUUAUGCCCACCUGUUAUUUGAAGGAAUGUGAGGAGCCAAACAUUGAUUCACAUUUCUCACAGCAUGAUUCAAUGUAAAGCACAGAUUAUUUUUUUGAGCAUUUUAAACCCUCUGUUAUCAAGAAGAAGGGCAUGACCUCGAAUCAUUCAGGCCUUGCUUGUCUGGAGGGCUCAACUGGACAACUUUGCUCUUAACAAUCAAUCCAAUGGUCGUCAUGGAAACAAAUGCACUCACCACAUGCUGAGGUACUCAGCAGGACAGAGAGGCCAAACUGUGGUGUAUGUGUGCUCAUGAGGGAGUGAGAGACAUUUAGAACCAAUCUGGUCUGAUUAUGAGGCUUUCCCCUUUGUUUCCCUUUGACUAGAAUAGGAGUAUAUUGAUUUACAACUACAAAGUUCAUGCAUGUGUAAUAAGGAGAGUAAAAGCAUGUAUCUACUAAGUUGUGCACCAGAUAUGGCCAAAGCCCAAGCCAAAUUGGGUAUAUUUGAAGGAUCCCAGAUGCGCUGGGUACACAUCCUCAUGGAUCACUGAAAUUUGGGUUAGACCGGCCCAGAGCAAUCUAUGACUGUUGGAGCAGGGCAUCAGGUAGAAAAGAGAGGCUGGCAAUGUACAAAAUUUGAGACCUAUUUGACUAGUGGAUUAAUUUUCCCAGGAGAAGGAAGGCCCAAGUCGCAACACUGCUUCCUGCCUAUCCACACUCAUGCAUUAUAAUCCCUAUCAUAUAGUUUGGUGCUAAAGGAGCUCUCUGCGGAUCUGAAACUCAGUAUAGCACUGAACUGUAGACAAAUGGCUUCUUAAAAUUCUCCAUCAUAUUUGUGGGCAGAGAAACUGUGUGAACCCUUUCAUGGAAACCAUUAGCAGUGGCACCAGAAUCACUUCUCCCUUCCCAGUAAUUAUCUUGCUGCCACUGCAGUGCUUGGCAGCAGUGAAAGAGUUGGCAGCUUGGACACCAAUUUGCAUCUUCUACAAAGUCCUGGACCAAGCAGGGAGGAAAGAAUGGCAGCCACCACAGAAAAACAGUGAAUAAUAUUGGGGGAAUGUCUAACAAGUGAUCUGCCUUUUCAAAGGGGUUGGGGUUGGGCGGGGGAAUGUGUUGUGAGAAAUCUUGUUCAACUUUAGUGAUAACACCACAGCACAGCAGAAGAAAAGCCCCAAGUUCAGUCCAGGAGGCAGGACUGUGAAAGGAGAAAUAUGGCACUCCUAAGAUAUGGUGUUUCUGUAAUGAUUCAAAUCAUCAGAGAUCACCUCAGUUACUACAUAAUCUUAUACAUGUUGACUCAGAAGUACUUCCCAUGAGUUUAAUGGGGCUAACACUUUGGCGAGUGGGUAUAGGAGUGCAGACUUUCUCUUUUUUAUUUUCUCAUUUUAUUUUUUAUUUCUUAUUUUUUAUUAUUAUUAAAAUAAUUCAGCAUUAAUACACACAUAUUGCGAAUAUACAAGCUUACAUACGUACAUUUCAUACAAUCCUUAAAAAAUGUUCAAACAUACCUACACUCAAUCCCACAGAUAAUUCCUUUUCCCAUCACCAUCCACCACCCCUCACCCCACCAUUGUGUUAGACUUCCAGUCUACUCAAUUACAAUUUCUUUCCAUUUCUAUUGCUUUCUUUCACACACCUUUAACCUAAUUUCAUGCUUCUUUUUCUAUUACACAUUGUUAUCCAUCUUAUUUAGUAUUUCAGUAUUUAAAACGGAACUUGUUUAUUCUAAUAGGAGUUCUGAUUUUUCAAUAUGGUUUUGCAAGUAUGCUUUAAACACCUUCCAGAGUGCAGACUUUCUCAACUAGUUACAGGAAACUAAGGCCCUUCAACCCUUUCCAGCUUGCCUCCUUCAUAGUACUUACUUUGGCUGACAGCAUUUUCUGGCUAUUUUUUCCUAGACCUGGACAAAUUAGUUUGCAGUAUUUCUGGGCCAAGUCAGCUUUUCAUGAGAUCACCCAUUUCUGCAUGAAGCAGCCAUGCUAUUUUAUUUUAAAGAAUAUCUGCACUGAAAUUUGUUUUUCAUAAUCUACUAUAUAGGUAUUUCAUCUUUUUUUCUUAAAACAUACAAUUUAAAAUGUAUAUUGAUACAUUUUUUAAAAAUCAAGAAUUGAAUUGAAAGAUUCAGGAAUAUCACACAUAGCUAAAUUUCAAUGCACAGGUUGGUCUGGCAGGUGUGUAUCAGGUCAUUUUAUACAAGAAUUCACAAAUGCCAAAUUCAUAUCCAUCCUCACAUUCCACCAUUCCAUAUAAGAAGUAAUCAAGAAGUUGGAACCUGAAAUCACCCUUGUUGGUGUCGCAGUACUGAGACUAAACUGAACACUCAUCUGAUCCUCUCCAACACUACCUUUCCAUUUCUUCCCCAGAUGUAUUUAUGAUGACAUAGCAAUUACACUGAUUUAAGGUUCCGAUAAUGUGACGGUGCCACUACACUGUUAAAAUUCACUAUGUGAGCAUAAAUUCAGCACAUCAUUGCAGUAUAGAUUUAUGCUGGAAUGGGAGAUUUAGUUGCCACCAUGUUUUCAUGGUAUAACUUGAAAAUGGGACUGCAUUGUUAGUUUUUAGGUUAGAGCAAAACCAGUGAUUUAAAAAUGAUUUCAACUUUCCAUGAACAUGGGUAUGAGAAGAUUUAUUUACUUUACAAAAUGUAAGAAGCAGCAUUUUCUUUGAAUCAUAUGAGUGGUUGGGUUUAGAGGAAGUUAGAAUUUAGUCUCAUUUGAAUUGAUAGGACUUACAUGAGUCUUGACUAACCUGUUCUAAUUAUUUAAAUGGGACAUAUAAACAACACAUUUCCUUUCUAUACAAUGCAUGGUACAUAGAAAUUAUAUGUCUUUAAAAUAUUAAGUCUAUAACUGAAAGAUAUGUUAAAAUGGUAUAGAUGAUGGCUCUGAUCCCAAAGGAACAAUAGCAAGCUUUGUAUGCAUAGUAGAUAUUCUACCUAGGGAUAUGUUGCACCUUGCUAAAUAUUUCUGCAUAUAUUUGCACCUUGACAAAACACGUUACUGCAUUUUCUUCUGGUACUUAUCUACAAAAUGAAAUAUGCAAUAUUCAUAUUUUUAAAAACAGGAAUUUCCCAUUCUUUUCACAUAUUAUUUGUAUUCUAGUAUUGUCCUCCAUUUAAAGAUGGAGGCUUUAUCUUGUUUCUCAUAUUUGCUGUAGAACAGUGGUGGAGGAAGCAGCUCGGGUGCCUGGGGUGGGGAGAGGGUGGGGUGCACCACGGGGCCUCUGGAGUCUGCCUGCCUCCUCCCACUCAGCCGCCCUACAGCUUGGGAUGGAUGCAGCCGGUGGACAGUUUGAGCAGCGCGGAGCCUGCGUGUGCCCAAGCUACCGCGUCUCUCCCAGUGGUGACACCCCGGGCGACCCGCACCCACUGCCCAGCCCCUCCUCUGCCCCUGCUGUAGAAUUUUGAUUGUGCAUGGUUUUCUAUUGAAAUGCACAGAACUUGCUCAAUUGGGCAUAAAUUCCAAUUAACUAAGGAGCGUGUGACUUUUUAGUGGAGGAAAAAAUAGACAAGUGCAUAUGAGCACAUUCUUUUCUUUUAAAUGAAAAAGAAAAGAAAAGUUGUCUUAAUUGCUCUUGCUGGAGGGCUUAAGUAUGCAGGCAGAGCUAUUUUCCACCCUUUGCCAUGGACAGUCUUGUGAUUCCUCUCCCCCUACCUCCUGACUGUGUGCUUAAUUAGAGUUUGAACCUCUAAUUAAGCAUUGUGCAAUGCCUCUGAUUCAGUUUGGGGCCAAAUCUGGAUUGAGUCAGCCUCAGAUGAUAUGAGUUGGACUGUAUCCAAAUGUUGGAUUGGGCUGUGAAUCUAAGUCCAGAUGCGGCAUUUCUGUUUGUCAAAGAUGGUGGUCACUAACUCAUAAUGCCACUCUUUGUGGUGAGUUCAUUUGUCCCUGAAGCAAUUUAUCCUUGUCAGUCCUUAGUGUUCACUCUUUUGCAUGAGCAAAUACAGCACAUGCAUCAGGGUCUUGCAGUUUUGGCAAAAAACAAUGUUGUGAUCACUGAGGAAGAGAAAUGUGCUUCAGGAGAUAUACAAAUUAAGUCAACAUCUAUGAUGUCCCUUCUAAUGAUCAGUGAUACUUUACUGUGAAAGUGAGGAUCCACUUCUCUAAGCUAAAAAAUGGUCACUUAAUUAGGCCUGUGCACAUAGCCUUGUUCUCUAGAAUGGGUGGCCAUCCUUUUUGGAGUCUAGAACAAGGUAGACAUGUCACUUACAAGGAUAAGAUGUUAAUGUUGGAAGUAACAUAAUGUAAGCCAGUGUGACAUUAUCACAUCGAAGCAAGAAAGUUAACAUAUACUAACAAUACAAUCCUAUACAUGUCUACUCAAAAGUAAGUUCAAUAGGACUUACUAUCAGCUAAAUGGGUGUAGAGCUGGAGUCUAAAGCAGCAAAACAACAAAACAAAACAAAACCUACUAAAAGAGAGAAACUUCAGCAUUCAUGAAAAUGAUCAUAUUCAAGGAAGCUUCUGACACUGCAAUGGCUAACAUUUAUAAUGAAAGUUUGAAACUCACAUCAGGGAAAACUAUGUUAUGAACAUAUAAGUAUUGCAUUUUACACCACACAUGUCCCAAACAAAUAGAGAUAAAUGACGAACAUAAAUUCAAGGCAGGAUUCUUCUGUGUUUAUUUUAAAUGCCUGGUAGAGAUGUUUGUUUGUUUGCAUGCCAUGAAGCCCACCACCUGCCCACAGCUAUGCGUUCCAUUUCCAUGGGCAUCUGGCUAAAUAAUAAACAGAUGUGCAUCAUAGGAAAACUAUGCCUCCCGUGACAUAUAGACUUUAUAGACAAUAUUCCAGAAGUCUGUAUAGAAUGACUUUGUUACAUGACUUAAUGAUCUUGUACAAAAUACAUCAAUAUAAAUAUGUCCUUACGACGGCAGACUCUCUAGAGAAAUCCUAGUCCAAAGAGGAGUUAGACAAGGAUGCCUAUUAGCCCCAUUCCUAUUUAACAUCUAUGUUAACUCCCUGGUCACAUGCUGCCGUGAAAUUGAAACCCACCCCCCUGUGUUCUCUAAUGGCAGAAAAGUACCAAUUUUAAUGUAUGCGGAUGACGCUGUUCUUCUCUCUCAAACCAAAGUGGGUCUGAAACGUGCCUUAGGAAAGUUUAGUGACCAAUGUAACACUGAACUGUUAACAAUUAACUUUGCCAAAACCAAAAUUGUACAUUUUAACCGCUCCUUUAGGAAGGAUAAUUGGAGCGUAAAGGGAAACGCCAUUGAACAGACUAAGACCUUCCAAUACUUAGGCAUUACUUUCUCUCAUAAUGCCAAAUUCUCAACACACUUGACCACAUCAGCUAUAUCAGCAGAAAGAAGUGCAAAUGCUAUCCUUAGAUUAUUCAGAAGGAAAGGAGCUGGCUUCCUCCCGAUGGCCCUAACAGUCUUUCAGGCAAAAUCUUUAGCCCAACUUCUAUAUGGCUCUCAAAUUAGCCCCUCUGCCAACCUUAAGACCCUUGAAACAGUACAAUCUAAAUUCUUAAGAUCAUUAUUUGCUACUCCUAAGUGUACACCUAAUGCAGUCUUAAGGCAAGAGGCAGGACUGCCCAGAGUGGAAUUAAAAGUCUGGGAACAAGCAAUAUCCCUCUGGCUGAAAAUCCAUUACAAUCCUAAGGGUCUAUUACCUUGCUUCCUGGCCGCAGUUCCCUAUCCUCCUUGGCUUAUGCAAAUAACUAACAAGAUCAAACAAAUUGGCCUAAACCCUGAAAAUAUUUUUAUUGGAACUCUGAACAAGGCAAAAGCUACUAUCACUCGGAGACUUUAUGAUAUCGAAUUACAACAAGAAGGCGCCUUACUCCCAGAGACGUAUAGAUGUUUAAAAGCUUGGCCUAAUUUUGUAGCUGCCCCUUACUUAACUAACAUCACUAACGAAACCUAUAGAUGGGCUUUCUCUAGAGCCCGCUUUGAGACAAUGCCCUCAGCAGUGCUGUACGGCAAAUUCACGCGAGUUCCAAUGCAUGCGCGUCUCUGCCCUUGUAUGUCUAAUAAGGUAGAAUCUGUCACACACAUUCUUCUAUCUUGCGAAUUCUAUAGUGAAGAACGAGUUCAACUUAUUUUACCGCUUCUAUCAAAAUUUAUACCCCUUCAAUAUUAUUUGGAAUCCUCCCCUGAAAUUCUUCGAAAACAUCUCCUGGAAGAUUCCUCAAGCUCAGUAUCAUAUGAGGUGGCUAAAUUUUGCACUUUAGUAAUUAAGAAGCGUAAAUCUCUUCUGUUGAAUGGCACACUGUGAAGUUCUCUUGUGUAACCUUUUUCUUUUCUGAAGUUGUUGCUGAUUUCUUGUUGUCUGAUCUUGUGGUGUUUAGUGUCACUGGCUUUGGCCGCAAUAAACUUGAUUGAUUGAUUGAUUGAUAUGUCCUUACUCACUGUAACAGAAAAAUCCCCAAACAUCCCCCUCCCUUUAAAAAUCCCCAUUCUUAAGAAGAGCUUGCAAGACAAUUAAUUUUGUUCCAGCCUGUUUCUGUCUUGAGCAAGUCAUUUAUUUAUUUAUUGGAAUAUCAAACAGGACAUCAUUGUGAGAAAGAGUAGGGGCCAAAUCCUUUUCUUGCUUCAAGAAUACUGAAAUCCGCAAGCAUGCCUGGAAUUUUUCUUUUAUAUGUAUGGGCAGGGACAUUGGGCUGGGGCCAGGGGAGCAGACCAAGACAUAACAGUAAACUAAUUCACCCUGGCAAUGCUUAUGUUUAAAGAAACAAUGAGAAGUGCAACUUGGCAAGCAACUUCUUAGACCUGGCAGAAUUGAUGAAAUAUGCCUGUUCAGAGAGAAAGGAGUAAUGGGGUGUUCCUUAUCUUAAGUGUGAAUGACAGACAAUGACAGGAACACUGGUGAUAAAUAAAACUAAUGGUACAACUUGUCUCCUCCAUGUCUCAUAAUGAACGACUUUAGUUUUAAUUCUACAUCCCCAUAUAUCUAUGUCCUAUAAAUCCAGCCAGUUCUAACCCAGACAUUUAGGUGUGUGUGUGUACACACACACACAAAUACAUAAUUGCAUUAACAUUUUAAGUGCUACAGAGGAGAAACCACUGACUGCAAAUACUACCACUCCCUGUCUCACUUUCAAAGUCACAAUCUGCGUGGACUUUUUUAUAGCAGGGCGAUAUUCUUCCUUUCUUUAUAUUCUGAAUUUUAUUGAUUAAACUACGUCAAAAUACAGGUAAGACACAAGUGGUAGAUAGAGAUGGACUACCAAUUAGCACAGUAUAAACCCUCCACUGGGGACGCGGGUGGCGCUAUGGUCUAAACCAAUGAGCCUAGGGCUUGCCGAUCGGAAGGUCAGUGGUUCAAAUCCCUGCAACGGGGUGAGCUCCCGUUGCUCGGUCCCAGCUCCUGCCAACCUAGCAGUUCAAAAGCACAUCAAAGUGCAAGUAGAUAAAUAGGUACCUCUCCAGCAGGAAGGUAAACAGUGUUUAUGUGCGUUGCUAUGGUUUCACCAGAAGCGGCUUGCUCAUGCUGGCCACAUGUCCCAGAAAAACUGUUUGCAGACAAACAUCAGCUCCCUUGGCCAGUAAAGCGAGAUGAGUGCUGCAACCCCAAAGUCGUUCGCGACUGGACUUAACUGUCAGGGGUCCUUUACCUUUACCUUUUUAAACCCUCCAUUGGUAAAGGUAAAGUACAGUGGUACCUUGGGUUACAGACGCUUCAAGUUACAGACGCUUCAGGUUACAGACGCUUCAGGUUACAGCCUCCGCUAACCCAGAAAUAGUACCUCAGGUUAAGAACUUUGCUUCAGGAUGAGAACAGAAAUCGUACUCCGGCAGCGUGGUGGCUGUGGAAGGCCCCAUUAGCUAAAGUGGUACCUCAGGUUAAGAACAGUUUCAGGUUAAGAACGGACCUCCAGAGCGAAUUAAGUUCUUAACCCGAGGUACCACUGUAGUUCAUUUUAACCACAGAAAAGCUAUAUAAGAUACUUUGAUAUUCCCCCAAAUUCUGUCUCCUCUGUUUUCUUCCAUGAUUGUUCCUCCAGGGAUGGCAAGGGGGGAGGGGGGAAUCAUCAAGACAAUCAUCAAGACAGUCCUGGAAUCAUACUCCCAAAGUAACAGUUAACGCAACAACCAAAUCCAGAACAACAUCUGAGGUUGAAGUGGGCUAGGAAUGCAGGGAGAGUCAUUAGAAUUAUAGACUUUCAGCUGACGCAUUGUUCUAGAUAGAUUUCUUGUCUUGAAGGUGUCAGUCUUAGGAAAGAAUCUUUCAUGUGUGAAUUUAUCAUAAAUUGUACAAUUAUCCUGAUAAUAAUAAUGACUAGUUUUACUUCAGUUUUCUCUUAAUUGCAUUUAUUGUUAUGGUACACACACACACACACACACACACACACACACGAAUUGCCUGGAAGUGGGAGAGGGGAGAGACAAGAACUAAAAUGUCUGCAUAACCACUAUAAUUCUGGAUGCAAACAAGGCAUAAAUUUAUUUUGAGACAGAUAAGUAUAUUCUCAUCUUCUUUUCUACAUCUAGGCAAGCAUUUCCACUAGAAUAAAUUCACACAUUUAGACUAGUUGCUUGCAGCUUCACUUUCACAGAAAAUUUGAUUAUUUGUGCAAUGGAAUCAUGUCUUAAUUAAACUUUUUACCUGCUUAAAACAUUUUUACUUCCCAUUUUCUCAUAAAGUUUGACAGAAGAGUCUUCCCCCCUUCACAAAAUCAUGCCCCUCCCCUCACAAUGAGAUUGCUUUUCACAUAGUCAUAGCAGGGCAGAGUAAGUUUGCAUAUGAAGAAAGGAAAUCUUUUAAAAUAAAACCCCCUCUUUGCAUAAAGAGAGAAAGGAAAUCACACAAAGAGGGCUGACAGUUUCCACAUAUUACCCUCGAAGUACAGCAGUAUGGGGAGGGGAUUAUUGAACUGUAUCACAAAAGUACCAAUUAAAAUGGGGUCAGGUAAAGGAUGGCUUUGGAAAAUGGUUCUAAAAAUAGCACAUUGUUAGUGCAAGUGUCUCUUCUUUGUGUGGAAACUGAGUAACAAAUCUUUAUUACUGCCAAUAUUGCUUCCAGAGAAAGAGAAGCUAUAUUCAAUUCCUGAGUCGUCAGCCAAAUUGAAAAUGAAUUCUUAUUGUCUUCUUCAUAUUUGGAUUGUACAUUUUGAAAUAUCCUCUCAACCCCUAAUCCUAAUUGCUGGAAGAGAUAUGUUUUGAUUUAUAAAUUGUUUAUAUCACAGUAAGCCAAAGAGGUGUCUUCAAGGAGAUGUAGCUGGACUGCAACUCCCAUCACACUUUGCCUUUGGUGGGACUGAUGGGAAUUGUAGUCCACUAACAUCUGGAGGGUACCAUGUUGAUUAUUUGGGCUUACAAUUUAAGUAUGCACAGCUUGCCCUGAUUGUCCAACCACUUGCAUAAAAGCCCAAAUAUGGGAACAGUGGUGAAACAAGUCCUUUCUAUUUUUUUUAAUAAGAUAUUUAUUGAGAUUUUCAAAAUGUUACAAAAUAAAAAUAAAGAAAGAAGAAAAUGCAAAAUAAAAAUGGUUAACAAAGUAAACAAAGAGAGAAACAAACCACUUCCAACAAUACGAAUACAAAUUCAAAAUAAGAAGGAAAAAAAACCCCGAAAAAAACAAAAAUACACGACAAACAUUUAAAAACAUUUAAAAACAAAUUCAUUAUUCUCAGAUCCUCAACUGUCAUUACCUUCUUUCUUUGACCUCCUCCUCCUCCCUUUCUUUGUAUCCUAGUUAUUAAUUAUCCCAGCAAAUCCUUUCCAUAUUUCAUAAUAUUCUGUCGUUACAUUACCUUAAACUGUUUUAAUCUUAUCUUUUUAUAUAAAAAACCUUGAAACUUAAAGCUUAAGUCUUAUCCUUACCAACUUCUCAUAACCAUAAUAUUCUUUCAUAAUUCUUUAAGCAUCUUUGCUAAAGCCGAGUAGUUUCAUUCCAACAUGUUUUUUAACAUUCAUCAAUUUUAUAAAACAGUCCUAAUAGUAAAAAAAAGAAAAAAAGAAAUACAAACAGAUCCAAUCUUCAUCCAGCGUCCCUUCCUCCUGGUCCCGGGUUUUGUCAGUCCUUAUUAUCCCAUUGAUCUAGCGCAUUAACCUGGCAACCUUAUAUCCGAGGCCCUCAAGUCUCUUCCAUGUCCCUUCCGCAGCUCUUCUUCAUAUUUGUAACUGUAUUUUCCCUUGUCUCCUGCUCGUGGUAACUCCAGCUUGGCAAUAUUUUUGACCCUUCUCGACAGAUCAGCCCCUUUUCCAUAUUCAACACUAAAUUCCAUGUGAUGUUUAAAAACAUGUUUCAAAAACCCUCCAAAAUUAAGAGCCCCCACAAUCCCAAACAUCUCACGGCCCAUUGCCAGAUUUGAAAAGUCCAAACAUCCCAGCAUAGGGGGGUCAAUCCAGCCCCCCAUUUCCAAGCCAAACCAAACUUUUUCUUUCCAAAUCUGACUUUUUCCAAGUUCAUUUGUCAAAUCCGAAAACUCAUAUUCCUGCUGGGCCUGUUCUGUCAGGACGCACUCCUGAUUUAAUUCCUGGGUGGGCUCCACAUAUUUUCCCACUGUCUGUUCAAAAUUUCCCACUGCCUGUUCAAAAUUUCUAGUCGAAGACGCCAUCAAAUUCAUCUUCUCAUGUAGCUGUUCCAGUAGGGCAUUUGUUUUAUAUAAAGCACACAACAGAGCUUCUGAAUACAUUGUCCUGCAAGGUCAAAUGUCUAUUCCCACGAUUGUAAUCUGUAACAGCUGCCGGCUCCCUGGAAUUAGUUACAGUUUCACAGUCUCCCUCUAGGGGGAAACUUCUAUUUGUUCUUGCAACAAAGUUUUCCUUUUUGAGAUAUUUUGUCAAUAUUUGUUCCUUUAAAAUGCGAAAGGAAACAGUGGAAUCACUAUGUUUCUCUUCUUUAGCUAUCUGUCAAAAACGUUUGUCUCUGGUCAAUGUGCUUCAAACGUCAGUCCUGACACCCCGCUCCAGGGUCAGGACGGUGGAAAGUUACUUUACUUUAAACUCACUUUAAACAGUCCGAAAAAGAUCCCCCUUCUUCUCCUGCUGUCGAAGGGGGGUUCCACAAUUUUAAAUGAUGAAAUCCAAUCCUUUAAAGGCGAUUUUCUAGGCUCUAGUUUACGUUGUCUUUGCUUUAUUCUGUCUACAAAAGAACGGAAAGCUGACUUCCUGUUUAGACCUUCCCGUUCAGUACCAAAUUGAAAAUAAAUUUUUAAAUCCAAUUCCUUUCUGCUCGCAAGUCCUUAUUUAAGGUCCAGUUGUUCAAAGUUUAAGUACUCACGGGUGCUUAUUUUAGAGUCCAAAUUGUCCCAGGAAAAAGGCAGCGCUCUCCGGCAACGGCUAUGCGGCUUCACUCCACGGAAAUAGCAGUUAACUCACAGCACCGCGCCACUUCCCCCUCUUCACUUCAGAGCCCGUUAAUGGGUUCCUUUGCGAGUUGGAGGGGGUGCUAAUGGUGCCCGCCGAGUCCCAUGGUCACAGGCUUCAUCCGUCUGUGAUUUUUAAAAGGGUCCCCGCUUCGCCGUAGCGGAGAAGACCCGUUUCACGCGGAGCUAGUCCCUCCAGUUCAGAGGGAGUCCGCCAUUGCCGAUGGCGCCACCCCGGAAGUCUCGAAACAAGUCCUUUCUAUACCCAGAGCAGGAUUGCUGUUCUCCCCCACCAGCCUGUAUCAGGAUGUGAGUGAUGCUUUUUCAAGUUUUACAUAAGGCAGGAUUUUGUAAGUAACUUGUAAGCCUUAAAAGGCAAUGCAGCAUUCAUUAAUAAUGUAAUUCUUCAGUUGCCUCCCAAGCGAAUCUUAAGUUUUCUUCUUACAUGAAUUGCUCUGUGUGAAUCAUUCUUUUAUUAGUCUGGCUGUGACCAUAAUAAACCUAUUGUUUUAAUGUUUGUGAUUUUAAUGUGACCUUUAUGUGCUUUGUUUGGUGGAUAUACCGUUUCUGGUUCAAAGAUCUAUUACAAAUUGAAAUAGAAUAGAUCAAAGUGGCAUUUUGUUGUUGUUGUUUAGUCGUUUAGUCGUGUCCGACUCUUCGUGACCCCAUGGACCAGAGCACGCCAGGCACUUCUGUCUUCCACUGCCUCCCGCAGUUUGGUCAAACUCAUGCUGGUAGCUUCGAGAACACUAUCCAACCAUCUCGUCCUCUGUCGUCCCCUUCUCCUUGUGCCCUCCAUCUUUCCCAGCACCAGGGUCUUUUCCAGGGAGUCUUCUCUUCUCAUGAGGUGGCCAAAGUAUUGGAGCCUCAGCUUCAGGAUCUGUCCUUCCAGUGAGCACUCAGGGUUGAUUUCCUUAAGAAUGGAUAGGUUUGAUCUUCUUGCAGUCCAUGGGACUCUCAAGAGUCUCCUCCAGCACCAUAAUUCAAAAGCAUCAAUUCUUCGGCGAUCAGCCUUCUUUAUGGUCCAGCUCUCACUUCCAUACAUCACUACUGGGAAAACCAUAGCUUUUACAAUACGGACCUUUGUUGGCAAGGUGAUGUCUCUACUUUUUAUAUGCCAAAGUGGCAUAUAAAUUUGUAAAUAUAAAUUAUAAAUAUGGCUGGGAAUCUCUGGGCGUACUGCUGCUGAGCUUCCAAGUUCUGAUUACCCAAGACAUGACCUACUUUGAAGCUAUUCUGAAAAAAAUAAGCAGCUAAGUGCUCUUUUCCAAAGUUCUAAGCCAGGCAUAGUCAAACUCGGCCCUCCAGAUGUUUUGGGACUACAACUCCCAUCAUCCCUAGCUAGCAGGACCAGUGGUCAGGGAUGAUGGGAGUUGUAGUCCCAAAACAUCUGGAGGGCCGAGUUUGCCUACGCCUGUCUAAGCCACCAGUUUCUUCCUUUGCAGCCUGAGGGAUUUAGUAGCUGAAUAUACGUUAUUGUGUUAGCCAGCAGCCACUCUUACUAACCUACUGCCCCUGCUAGGUUACUUAGCAAACUCAUAUCUGUUUAUUAUUAUUAUUAUUAUUAUUAUUAUUAUUAUUAUUACCAUCAUCAUCAUGCUACAAUACAGCAAAUAAUCUUUUGGGUACCACGGAAGAAACAAACUUUGAUAGUGAUAAGUUAUUUUAGGUUGCACUCCAAAUUCCCUUUGCACUUGGAGAGUAUUGUGUGUAGAGGUGUUCUUCCACCCAGUUGACCUCUGCCUAUGGCAUGACACCAGAUCAUUUGGAACAGUGAGACUGGUUCUGCCACACUGGGCACUGAGCCUAAGGGACACUGCAGGAUAUUGCAACUAUGAUGUAGUCAACUGAGCAGGAUGGAAGGCAAGAGGAGGUGGAGGGACAGGGGACGGACAGGCACCAACUUUUGGCCUUGUAUAGGGCACUGCUGAAAUUUGAAAAACCCAAGUCUUCCUCUGGUGCCACCUUCAUUACUUUGCUGGAGAGGAGUUCCCAGUUCCACCUGCUGAAUGGGUGAGCAAGCUGAAGUACCAUCCAUGGGAACCUCCACCAAUGGUAUCCCCCCCAAAAAAAGUCCAAAAACAGGGCAUUUCAGGGGCAAGGAAAGACUGAGCUGGCAUGGGAAAUGUGUUAUGCUGCAAAACAAAGGAAAUGUCAAGUAAAACACUCAGAAGGCCACUUUGGUUACUUAGCAUUACUUUGCAUUUCAGUAACAGUUUUAGUUUUCUUUAUACACCAAAAUAGGGCAAUAUUUUCUCCAGGUGGCAACAGUUAUGCACACCACUUUCAAAAGAAAAAAGAUGGGACUGGUGAGUUCAUCUCUGCAGUAACAAUGUAGGCAUGUGUUUUUUCAGGUCAGGACAAUUUAUGCCCCAUUACUGCUGAUUUGAUAGAUAACAUCAGGACAAGGGACCCAAACUGAGCUGACCGAAGACUGCUGUGCCUGUGAUGAUCUGUUCUUCAUCUUUUCAGUUCUCCUUCUUAACUUCAUUACUUUGCAUUUUGAUUUUCUCUGGAGCCUGCAAUUACUUUAUGUAUUGAUAGCUCUCAUCUAAAGCAGACUUUUAAUACAAAAGUGCUCAGCUGACUCACUCCUUUGAUGAAACAUCAUGCGUAUCCAUGUGCAAGCUGCUCCAAAAUAGGGGACGGUUAAGAUGCAGAACAAAUAAUUUUCAAUAUGAGAAUCAGGAACCUAAUCUGGUAUUCUAUUCUGUAUAUGCAGGUAUACAGUGUAACUUAAUUUAACUGUUGAUUUGUUGGAUUCCACUAUAUGUGGCAUGCUUUUUUGUUUGUUUGUUUACAUUGCCAUUUUAAUUAAAAAAAACCUUUGAUGAUUUUUUUUAUUAAAAUGUGGUACAAAAACAGGGGGGAAAGCUUUUUGACUAUAAUUUGGGAUCCCUCUAGCUGUGUGUGUGUGUUUGUAUCAAUGUGGAUUGCCACCUGUUUCUUCACUGUUCAUCUGUUUGGACCAAUUAUGCAUGAAAGAGUUUUAUUCAACUGAGUUACAUGCAGGGUAGUUCCAUUAAAAAUGAUGGACCUAAGGUAGACAUGUUCAUUAUUUUUAAUGGGAGCACUCUGAGCAAGACCAACAUUAGAUGUAACCAAAAACCUGUAGUCAUUGUCCUGCAUGUUUAUUCAUUUAUUUUUUUUAUUUCAUAAUUUUUUACUCUGCUUGAGAAUUUUUAAACUAAAAACCCCCAAAGCAUUUUACAACUAUGUGUGCAACUAUAUUCAGCUGUCAUGGGAUUAAUCAUCCUAUGGUACCUCCUCUUACCUUCUUGAGCAAAUACCUCAAAAUAAGCACUCAGGGUAAAACCAUAUGGAAAACUUUUUUUAAAAAAAUUAAUAUUUAUUAAAGUUUCAGAAAAAAUAAAAUCACAUUAAUAAACAAGAGAAAUUUGAAAAGAAAAAAGAAAAAUACACAAUAGAAAAUACAAAAUACAAAAUACAAAAAGAAAAAAAGAAGAAAAAAAACAGUUAAAAAUAAUUCCGUCUUUUCAUAACUUCUUUUACAUUUACUUGUUUCCCGCACUUCCUCAUACCUCCCUCUUUUGUAUUCCAAUUCCGGUUGUUAAUUCAGCAAUUUCUUUCCCUCCUUUUUAAUCCCAAUCCUUAAUCUUAAUAUAUUAUGACGUUAGAUUUUUACCUAUUUGAAACCAAUUUUCCCAUUCUUUUAACUUUUUUAAUCCUAAUCCUUAAUCUUAAUAUAUUUAUAGCUUUAAAACCUAUACAGCUAGAAGCCAUUUAACGUCAAUCCAACAUCAUUCUAACAUUCAUUAAUUUUGCAAUGUUUCUGUAAAUAAUCUUUGAAUUUCUUCCAAUCUUCUUCCACCGACUCUUCUCCCUGGUCACGGAUUCUGCCAGUCAUUUCCGCCAAUUCCAUGUAGUCCAUCAUUUUCAUCUGCCAUUCCUCCAGUGUGGGUAACUCUUGUGUCUCCCAAUACUUUGCGAUAAGUAUUCUUGCUGCUGUUGUAAAAACCAUAUGGAAAACUGAUGCAGUGCCUGACAGAUGGAGAGAAGUGCUUGAAUUUUGUAACACAUCACAAACAGGCAACAAAACUACCAUAUUUUUUGGUGUAUAAGACUAUAUUUUUUCCUAAAUUUCUGAAGUUUAAAAUAAGGGGUCAUCUUAUACACAGUGCAUAGUGAAUUUUCUUAAUUUUGAGUCCCCCAAAAUAGGGAACAUCUUAUAAAAGGGGGGGGGGUGUUAUACACAGAAAAAUAUGGUAUGUCCUGGCUUGAAUAUUCAGCCCCAAGUAGCACUACAAUCAUGACCAAUUCUGCCCGCAGCUGAAAAAAAUGAACUGGGAAUAAAGCUUACUAAGUUAUAGAAAAGUUUAGAAUGUGCUAUAGGAAAUUGGGUCACUGAGACAUGGAAAUCACUGCAGAAUGGACAUUAAAGAAGUCAACCAGAGAUAUUCUGUAUCAGCACCUCUUGCGCUUUUGCAUGGAUCUCUGCAUUCCAAUACAAUACAGAGGAUCAUACAUUCUGAGCUUUGUUGGAAAGAAGGGUGAGAUAUCAAAUGAAUAAAUAUAAUGAAGAUACCUUUUCCCUCAAAGGGCAAAUUAACCCUGUUAUUUAGGUUUAUUAUGCAGACAUUAGCAAAUCAAACUUAUUGAUAGUCCUAAACUCGUCAAAUUUGAUACACAAAUCAUACAUCCAAGUUUUAGGAGCCAAAAUGUUUAGCAGCUAGCAAUCAACCAGAGUCUGAUCCUAACAUUUUAUAGAUUGAAAUCUGCCAAAGAUGACAAAAAGAAGUUAACAAUUGAAGAAUUGAUACUAAACACUUUGCCAUUGCAAAUUUUGGAAAUGUGCUGAAUAUUUCAUACAACAAUUUGAGCAAUUUUAUAUAACCCUAUUUCAUGUUAUCGAGCUGGCUUUCUUUUCAUUGCUUUUCCUCAAGCGACUAAUAUUAAAAUGGCACUGCUGCUUUUGAAUCCAUUAGAAAUGAUUUCUGCGAUCAUUUGUGUAAGUGCAAUAAAACAGUGGAAUGGGGGAGGGGAACCGCCCACCCAGUCUUAUAUUAUUACUGCAUGAAAUUAGAUUCCAAAAUGAAACAAAUGGUAUUCAAAAAAAGCAAUAGGAAUUCAAACACCUGCACCUGUGGAUGUAGUAGGCUCCCCACCCCCAAAAAUAAAAGAAUAGGAAGAAUAAAUAGAACAUCACUCCAAUAAUAAAAUGAAUUAGUCACUCAGGUUAGCAUCCCCUCAAGGAAGCAAUGUUGGUGGUAAUACACUGAAUAUUAUCCACCUCAAAAGUAGUAAUUGUGGUGGAAAUUAUCUCCCCCUCCCACCCACUCUGAAGUCCUUAACUCACAUUCAUUGACUGUUCACAGCCACUGUUUGCUCACAUUCUCCUUUCUGCUUCAGGUCCUCCCCCUUCGCCAGUGUUUCUUCUCUUUCAGAAUGAUGUCACCCAAGGAGGGAAAACAAUGCUAUGUAGCCAAUCAGAUUUAGACAGAUCCCCAAACAACUUUGGACCAGGUUACUGAAGCGAACACCUUGCCUUAUAUAUCCCUGCCUGUCAACUGUGUUCAACAGUGCUCUCACUGCUGAGAGUACCAGAUGUCCCAGAGAUGUGCUUCGUUUGUACAAGAAACCAGGCUUUUAGUACUGCUGCUCCAGCCUUCUCAAAUCAAUUACUAGCUGAAAUUAGACAGGCAUUUAGAAUCACAAUGCUUAGGUACCCACUGAAGACAUUUCUGUUUAAGAAGGCUUUCCCUGAGCUGUGGCCCAGUCAUUUAAGAAACAGUGUAGAAACAGUUUUAUUGAUUUUAGAACUUGUUGGAAUGGUUAUGUUUUGAGAGUUUGUAGAAAUGGUUUUAAUUGUUUGUAGAACCUUUUAUUUCAUUUCGUUUUUUUAUCUUCUUGUAUACGUCUUUAAUGUCUAUAAGACCUGAAGUGGUUUAUUACUUAGUAAAAUAAAUAAAUAAAUGUGGGUAUCCCUAGUGGAAAAUAAAGAAUGUUAAGUAACACAAUACUUUUAAUCUCCCCUUGCCACAAAGUUGAUCCGACUAAUCAGAAGUUACUCCAGGACUCAAAACAUUUCUUGCAUCCUCUGCAAUGAUCACCAAAUUGAAGGCUCCUUUUGUUAAUAAAAAUAUUGUAGGCGCAAUUCUGUGGGACUGCCUCUCAGCUGAGAUCAGACAGGCCUCUUCCCUGCUAAGUUCCAGCACCUGGUGAACACAUUUUUUAUUUUUAUUUAGAGGCAUGUUAAGUAAUUUUAUGGUUAAUUUUAAUGAUUUUAUCUAUAUUAUAUCUUUUUGACAUGUACACCCCUUGGAGACUUCAGUGCUAAACAGCACAUACAGUAUAGUAAUCCUUCAUCCUGCAUGCAUUUGACUUUCACGAUUCCAACCAUUUAUGACUGAAAUUGUGCCAGUCAAGUCCCAAGCAAGGCAGAAAGCUUAAAAGCUCAUUUUGGACUGGGUCAGCUUGGGGUUACCUGGCACAAAAAGAGCUUUGAAGCUCUCCACCUUGGUUUCUGGGGAAGGCCUACUUAGCAUUCCAGCUCUGGAAGCUUCUUGUGACAUCUCAAGGGACAAUCCAAGUUCCCAUGAGAUCUCACACAAGCAUCUAUAGCCUUCCAGAGCUGGUGCAGCACAUAGUCUUGCCCAGCAAAAAAGGUGGAGAGCUUAACAGUUCUUUCUGAGCUGGAUAACCCAUGGACUCUCUGCCCUGCUUGCUGGUCAAGGCCCACCCACGUGACUUUAUAAGGCCAGGGAUGCUCUUUCUAUCCCACUUACCCACUAGCCAUGGGGUGACUUCAAGGGUUAAGUAUAAAAGAUGAGUUAUUACUGUACAUCGUUGAAAUAAUAUUAAAAUGAUAUCACAACAUUCUAAAGAAGUCCACCAAUGAGCUCUCAGUUCUAAUGUGAAUUAUAUGUGAUAAGUGUUUCAGCAUGAAAAACAGAAAAAGGAUGAUUGACAACACUUAGGUUGAGUGGAGGGGAGACAUUUUCCCAUCCUCUGAUACCCCCGGGAAACUCAACAAAUAAGCUGUACCUGAAACUCUGUGGAGAGUGAAGCUGCAUGGGACACAACUGUGGGCAGCCUUAGGAAGUACCACCCCCCUUGAGCCUGCACAUAAAAAGCAAGUCUAGAGUGACGCGGAGAAAGCUUUUGACAACAUUUCUUGGAGUUUUAUGAAGAAGAAUCUACAGGGGAUGGGGGUAGGUCAAGGCUUUGGAAACGGUAUAAGUGCAAUUUAUUCAGAACAAAAGGCUAAAUUAAUUGUUAACAACGUGGUGAUGGAGGAAUUUAAGAUAGAAAAAGGGACACGACAAGGUUUCCCAGUCUCCCCAUUGCUCUUUAUAUCGGUCCUGGAGGCCCUGUUGAAUAUGAUUAGAAGGGACCAGUUGGUUAAAGGUAUACAAGUCGGAGCUAAACAGUACAAAUUGAGAGCAUUUGCAGAUGACUUAGUAUUGACAUUACAGGAGCCAGAAUCUAGUACCAAAAGAGUUUUGGAACUGAUUCAAGAAUUUAGUCAGGUUGCAGGAUUUAAACUGAAUAAGUUAAAAACAAAGGUUUUAGAGAAAAAUUUAACAGUGAUUGAGAGAGAGAGGUUUCAGAAUGAGACAGGUUUAACAGUGGUUAAGAAAGUGAAAUACCUGGGGAUUAACAUGACAGCUAAAAAUGGGAACUUAUUUAAAGACAAUUAUGAAAAAUGCUGGACUGAAGUGAAAAAAGAUUUAGAAAUUUGGUCAAAUUUGAAGCUUUCACUGCUAGGCCGUAUUGCUGCGAUAAAAAUGAAUGUAUUGCCUAGAAUGUUGUUCUUGUUUCAAACAUUGCAAGUUUUGGACAAAAUGGAUUGUUUCAAGAAGUGGCAGAGAGAUAUUUCUAGAUUUGUCUGGCAGGGCAAGAAGCCUAGAAUAAAAUUUAAAAUACUAACGGACGCAAAGGAAAGAGGUGGAUUUGCCCUGCCAGACCUUAAACUUUAUUAUGAAUCAGCAGCUUUUUGCUGGCUGAAAGAGUGGCUACUUCUUGAAAACACAGACAUUUCAGAUUUAGAAGGUUUUAAUAAUGUAUUUGGAUGGCAUGCAUAUUUAAGGUAUGACAAGGUCAAAGCACAUAAAGCAUUUAAAAAUCAUAUUGUCAGGAAAGCCUUGUUUAAUGUCUGGAUAAGAUACAAGGACCUACUUGAAAAUAAAACCCCAAGGUGGUUGUCACCGAUGGAAGCGAAAGCUUAGAAAAAGCUCAAUAUGGAGGCCAAAUGGCCGAAAUAGUGGGAAAUUUUGGAACAAGAGGGAGACAGAUUGAAAUUGCAGAGUUUUGAAAAACUAAAAAAUAAAGUGCGAGAUUGGCUUCAUUAUUAUCAGAUAAUGGAGGCAUAUAAUUUGGACAAGAAAAUUGGCUUCCAGGUGGAAAAAUCAAAAUUGGAAACAGAACUGUUAGAACCCAAAACCAAGAUUUUGUCAAAGAUGUAUAACUUGCUGUUGAAAUGGAAUACUCAGGAUGAAACGGUGAAAUCUGCUAUGAUUAAAUGGGCACAAGAUGUUGGACAUAACAUAAUGAUGGCUGACUGGGAACAGUUAUGGACCACAGGUAUGAAGUUUACGGCAUGUAAUGCCUUAAGAGAGAAUAUUAUGAAAAUGAUAUACAGGUGGUACAUGACACCAGUCAAGCUUGCAAAAAUCUAUAAUUUGCCCGAUAAUAAAUGUUGGAAAUGUAAAGAAACUGAAGGCACAUUCUUUCACCUUUGGUGGACGUGCCCAAGGAUUAAGGCUUUCUGGGAGAUGAUCUAUAAUGAAAUGAAAAAGGUAUUUAAAUAUACCUUCCUGAAGAAACCAGAGGCCUUUCUCCUGGGCAUGGUUGGCCAAUUGGUGCCAAAGAAGGAUAGAACUUUUUUUAUGUAUGCUACAACAGCAGCAAGAAUACUUAUUGCAAAGUAUUGGAAGACACAAGAUCUACCCACCCUGGAAGAAUGGCAGAUGAAGGUGAUGGACUAUAUGGAAUUGGCGGAAAUGACUGGCAGAAUCCGAGACCAGGGAGAAGAGUUGGUGGAAGAAGAUUGGAAGAAAUUUAAAGACUAUCUACAGAAAUACUGUAAAAUUAAUGAAUGUUAGAACGAUGUCAGAAUGAAGUUAUGUGGUUUUAGCAGCAAUAUUACAAAGGAGUAUGUAAAAAUGGAUUGUUAACAGGUGAGAAUCUAAAGUUACAAUAUAUUAAGUUAAAGGAUUAGGAUAAAAACAAAGAGGGAAAGGAUUUGCUGAAUUAGCUAACUGGAUUGGAAUACAAAAAAGGGAGGUGUGAGGAGGUCAGGGAAACAAGUAAAUGAGAGACAAGACAUGGAAAGAUUGAUUUGUUUUUAAAUGCUUUUACUUUUCUGUAUUUAGUAUUUUUUCCAUUUUUUCUUUUCUUUUUCCUAUUUUUGUAACCUUUUUUUGAAACUUCAAUAAAUAUCAUUUUCCAAAAAAAAAAAAGCAAGUCUAGAGUGAAAGACUCAAAACUCUUCUCAUUGUGAAACUUUUUUGUGGGUGAGCUGAGUUUGUUUGGACCCUGGUUGAUCCCCAGAGGCUGAGAGGGAGGGUGUGUCUGAAGGAAAAUAUAUUGAUAUUGAUUUUAUAUAUUAAUAACUUUGUAUUAAUUGAGCAUUUUUAUAUGUAACUGUGUGUUUUUGUAACAUUUUGCUUAAGUUGUCUGUUGUUGCUUGUACAUCUUUGAGGUAUUUUAAAAAAUAUAUUAAGCAGUAUAGAAAUUAAAUAACUGAUCAACUGAAUGUUUUCGUUAUGACAAGAGGGGAAAAAAGUGUUUCCUAAAGCCCUGUGUACUGCCAUUUUUCAAUUGAACCCCACCUUCUUAAUAACCAAGCCUUUGCCUAACCUGAUCUACAUCCUAUACCCUUUUUAAAAUGCUGGCUCUUUUUAGGGGUUUUUUAUUGGGUUGUUGUUUGUAUUUUUAUUUUAUGUAUGUGAUCCUUUAUGGGAACACCCAGAGACCUUCAGGUAUAGGGCAGUAUAGAAACAAACAAACAAACAAACAAACAAACAAACAAAGGCAGAUCAGGAAAGCACUAAUCCAGCAAGCUGGGUGCCGCAGAAGGAAAGGACAGGCAGGAAGUAGACUGACGAGAUUUCAGAAUGACAUGCAUAGUCAAUAGUAGGUAUUUCAGAACCCUGGACAGGGAUCAGGAAGCUACUCUUUUUCGAAGAGCCCUUGUUCAAACUUUUUAUGCUCCUGAACCUGACUGCACUUCUCAGAAUCCACCCCACUGCUGAUGAGUACAGAGCUUAAAAGGGCCUGAAGCCCAGCACUCUGUCAUCUCUACAAGGGCUCCUGCAGAGCAUGCUGCCUGCAUUGUCGCAAUGGUAUAUUGUGUGGCACUAGCCAGGCACCAUUACAGGGCUGAGCAGGAUAUUUUUCUGAUCAACUGUGACUGAACUGAGUGCCUGGCGUGCUCUGGUCCAUGGGGUCACAAAGAGUCGGACAUGACUAAACGACUAAACAACAACAACAACAUGUUACUUGCUGUGGUCACUUGGCAGAUACGUGUGGGAAGGGGAAUGGGAUUACCAUAAAGCACUUUUCACGUCAACAAUGAUUCUGGAGACUUGUACACAGGGCUGUGGGACUCAUGGGGCAAUCAAUGUAUGGUUCACUUCUGGGUUACUCAGAGUUGUGGGCCUUUCUGGGGAUGGGAGUUAGGAAGUUGCCCUCUGCACUGAAGGGGUGUGGCAUGUGGGGGAGAGGUGGAAUUAAGACCACCAUUCCUCCCUGAAGGAUAAUUACACCCAAUUAUGACAGACUUAGGAAUCUAAUAGCAUUUUUGAAUAUUUUCCUCACAUUGAUUUCCCCCCAUAUGCACUUCAUAAGCUGUAAUUAAAAAGUGGCCUUAGUUUAAAAAUACAUUUUGUGUCUUCUCUGUUUAUUCUCAGUCUCCUCACACAAGAUGGAAUUCCCACAGUGUGUUACUGCUUCUACUUCUACUUCUUUCCCUUCCCACCCUCAGAAAGCAGAAUGCAUUCCAGAAUAUUGUUCAGGAAUCUGGGGUUGGAGGAAAUGAACACUCUGUUAAAAGAACAAUGGUAUGACAUUAUCAGCUGACUGAGUGGCCAUCCGAGCAGUUAUUUCAAAUUACAAAACAAACAAACAAAUACGAUGUCAAUUAAAUCUGGUCCUAAAGCUUCGUGGAAGCAUUCCAAACUUAUGCCAGCUCAAAUUGAACAAAACAGAGGAAUUAGAGAGCCGCUACAGGCCAGGGAGCAACCAUUGUUCUCUUCAGGAUGCCUCUCUUUCCUUUGAACUCAAAAGAUGCUUUAAGGUGUGGUGGAGCAGGCACCUGGUUGCCUAGCUACAAAAAUCAAAUUCUGUGAGGGGAAUUCUGGGCUUGUGUUGACUGUUAAAGCCUCUUCAGAGUCUUCUCCACUUCUCUGAUUCCCUGAUGAAUGCAACAGUCAGAACACCAGAUGAAAGUCAUUUCUCUGACAGAGACAGCUUGUAUCUAAAAAUAUUUUGCUUUUCUUGUAUGAUUAACUGACAGAGUGAACAAAGGCAUGACUUGGAAAUUGUUUAUCAAUAUUUCUCUAAGAGAGACAGCUUGUAUUUAUAAAUAUUUAGCGUUUUUGGUGGAAUGAGCAUGAAUAGGAAGCCAUUUGCAUUGUGCACACAUUAUCAGGCAAUAAGCUAAUUACCAGAGAAUUAUAAUCAAUUAUUUCAGUCAAAGAUGCCAACUUUUUCAAUAGAGGCAUUAGCUAAAUGAGUUCUGAUAACUGACUGAGUAUAAUUAAUGGCUAACAUUCAGUUUUACAUUUGUAUUUGCACACAAAAACAUAGCAAAACGUGUGUGUGCUUUGCAGCUGUGAUGCCUCAAACUUUCUGCAUUGCUUGAUUAUUCACCAAAAAAAGAAACGUAUGCAGAACAGCUUGGAUUACUUAGGUGAAUGGAAUGCUAAGGACUGCAUUAAAUAGGAAUCAUAGAUUCUUCUUCAAUUAAAGCACACAUAAAUAUUCAGCAUUUCUGACACCUGUCGUGUUCUAGUGCAGCAAAUUAUGGAGCCAGAUUGCCAAUCUUUAUAACCUGCUUGAGCUAUAAAGGGAAUGGAAACCAUGAAAUUCAUGGAUAUUGCUGGUCCUUGAAAGCUGCUACUGAUACAAAGGCAAAAAUAGAGUCAGUAUACUGAAACAAGACCAAAGAAUUGGUAGUUAGUUAAAACUUAUUCAUCAAAAUGCAUCAAACUGCUGAUAGGUGAAGUCGACUCAGUUCAGUUUGGAACUUGGUCACCAUUUGGCUUUAAAAAGGGCUAGAAAAAUUCAUAGCUGAUUAUUCUAUUAAUGGCUGCUAGUCAUGUUGAGAACGAGGAUUUAACAUCCAAAGAAACUUAUUGCAUUCGUGCUACUGCUUGGUUCUUUGCAAAAAACAGAAUGCCAGAUUAGAUAGAUCUAGCAGAACUCCUCUUAUAUUCUUAAUUGCAAAUAUUUUCUUUGGACUCCAGAAACAGCCACUUUCCCCCUUAGAAUUCUAAACUGACUUGCAAUCUUGAUUGCACUGUUAGAAAUGGUUUUAAGAUCACCCAUUUUGUGCUUCUAAGGCCAGGAAACCAAGUUCAAACAUAGCUCAAACAUCCUCCAAGUGGGCUUCUAGGGACUAGUGGACAAGCCCAGUGAUGGGUUCAGGCCUUGGGAAAUAAAAGCUUCAUAGCCCCUGAACUUGUCUAUCCAUCCUCUUGAUAGUCUUUGCAACCAAAACAAUUCAGCAGAAGCUUUUUAUUACAGGAUCUGCAAGCUAUCCCCUGCAGCCUAUGUUUUUCUUAACUUUUUAUUUAUUUUUUCCUGAGACAACAGAAAAACUUCUUUUGUAAGUGCUUUGGAAUUCGUUAACCAAAUUGAUAGUCCGAACCAAGUAAUUACAAUUUUUGGUAACAUCUUUCUUUGUUUUUUAAAUGAUUCAGAGUGGUAUUGCAGCUGGAUUAGAGUUUUAGGUUUGACUACAGGAGAUCCUGGAACAAAUCUGCGCUUAUCAAUGAAAUUUAUUGAUAGGCUUGGGUCAACAGUGGUAGUUCUUGUGGUCCCUGAAUCCAGCAGAAAUUGAGACACAGAAUCAGAGGCUCCGAAGGCACCACCUAAGGAGCUAGAUCCGGUUCAGGACUCUGAAUUGACUGCUGGGGAUCAGGUGACACAUGCACCUGAGGAUGUCAGACUGGAGUCUCCCAAAAUGUCACUCAGGGCCUCAUGGGCCCCUUCCCUCAGGAGCUAGAUGUCUUCCACCAUGCAUCACCAGUGCAGGGAGAGUGCCAAGAGAAGGGUAUGGAACAAAGUAGUGUCCAUCUUCCUUUUAGAGUUUUGGACCUUUUAGGCUCUGAAAUUUUCCACAAGGGGGCUUAGCCUGGAAGAGGUAGCCUGGUGGCAGAGGCUUCAAAGGCCUCAGUCUCCUCCUAACCUUGGAGUAUGUUGUUCAUGUAGAGCUGUCUAACCAGCCUUGCCUCAUUCUCCUUGGGAUUUGUCAUCAGACAAUAGGUAAAGGUAAGGUAAAGGACCCCUGGAUGAUUAGGUCCAGUCAAAGGCGACUAUGGGGUUGCAGUGCUCAUCUCGCUUUCAGGCCGAGGGAGCCGGUGUUUGUCCACAUCAGACAAUACAUUAAGCUGAGCAUGUGAGAAAGAAAUAAAAUCAUGCAUGUCACUUGCUCUUUCUGAAGGAAGGCUAGGUUCUCAAUAUAUUUUGAAGGGUAGUAUUUGAGGCACUUCACAUUCUAUGUUUUCUAUGUAUGCAUUUUGAAGAUCUUCCUGGAGAAGUGUUACAUUCACAUCAUUGUAAUUUGAAGGUAGAUGUGUGUUUCAAUUUCAAAGAGGCACUUAGCUGACAAGUUUGCUGCUGCAGAGUAUUGCACAUCCAUGUUGCAACACCAUCACAUUGUAUUCUAUCAGCUGCCAUAGGUGUUGUAUCAGAGCACUUUCUAAACAGUUGCUUGUCACUGUUAUGGCUCAAAGAGUAACACCAUGGGAAACUGAAAGGUUUCAUUAGCUAACAUGAUCCAAUUGCCUCCAUGACUUCAGCAGCAAGAGAUUAGCUGACAGACACUAAGCUAUGAACAAAGAAUACAAGAUCCAAUCCAACUUUGUUUGACAGCUCUUUGGGUUGUGGAGACCUGAAACUGAAGACUACAGUGGCUUUGAUCCAAAAAUUCUCACGAGUGAGAAGAAAGACCAAUGCUAAUUUGAGCCCUUUGCCACACCACACAAUACGCAGAAGGCCUCUAAUCACAUAAAGGGUCACAUUUGGGUGGAGGAAUCAGUGUUGCUGUUGUUGAAAACUGUUCAUUGCAAAUAAUUUUAAAGGAGGAAAUGUGGAUUUUAGCACUGCAUUAGUUUUAACCUGCUGGUGCUCCCUUAUAUAAUCCAACAUUUUAGUGUGUGUUAUAUGGCAUUAUAAAAUCUCUCUAUAUAAAAAGAAAAUCAUUUCAAAUAAUAAAAGGAAGUCAAUCACAGUUGAAUGAUAUCUUAUUUCUGAAAGUAAUGCAGUUCUUAGACACACAGAGUACAGAAUAUUUUUUAAAGUCACAAUGAAUUGGAAAAGGACCCACGCCAGUCACCUCCAUACUAAAAUAUGCCUUUGUGUUUUGCUACAGGUAUAAUAAAAAAGAAAAGAAAGAUGUUGUCUAUAUUUGUUACCGUCUUCUUUCAUAGUUCCUUAAGACAUUUUUUAAAAAGCCAGAGGUUGGGUUUUUUUUUGGGGGGGGGGAGUUGCCAUUCACAAGCAUUUCUAAGAAACUUUCUCUGUGAUAAGAAAAUAACUUUAUUUUUCACACAUAUAAAAUCUGGUCUUUUAAGGCUGGACUUCUACAACAUUGCCAUAAGGAACUUAACAUUCCAAGAUAUUCAUUACUAGGAAAGAACAUAGAAGGUGGCUUUAUUCUGUAUCAGAACACUGGUCCAUGUAGCUUUGGGAUGUCUUCAAUGACUUUCCAGGGUUUUAGGCAGAAGUCCUUGUCACCCCUACCUGGAGAUGCUAGGGAUUAAAUUUAGAACCUUCUGCAUGAAAAGCAGCUGCUAUACCACUGAGCCAUGAUACUUCCCUUAUUCAAGCUCUUACCAAGAAGUUAAAAGGAAGAAAAUAUUUAGGGUGGUAUCCAACAGAGUCGUUCUGCUGGCACAAGGGCUUUUGACUUGGCAAUGGAACUUUCCCUAUUUUUCCUUCUCCCUGCUUGCCUACCAUGUCCUGUUCUGAGCCUCCUUAGAAUAUUGGGAGGAGGUGAAAGCAUGCAGGGAGAGGAAGCUCUCUUGUGCAAGUUCUUCUGCUAGCAGAUGCCCUUCUCUAGAUACUAUUCUCAGGCAGCAACGCCCAUACAAAACUUUUCUGUCACUUUUUCAUGCAUUGACACACAAGUCUACUCCUUCCCAUUUUUGCAUUAAUGUGUGGAAUAAUAAUAAUAAAUCUGCAUGAAACUCUGCAUUUAAAUACUUUACAUCAUGUCUUUUUAAAUGUGCAUUUCUAAACAUCAUUUAUCUUGAGACAUACAUUUCUAAACACAUUUUAAUCUCAAAAUAGACCAUUUUAAAAUGUAUUUCGGUGUAUAUUUUGAGGUGAAAAUGGCACUGUAGCAUUUCAAGACAUGAUGGAUAUGUACAUUAUGAUCCCCACACGAUGUUGGGAUGCAUAUAUCAGGUCAGUACAUAUUUUCAAAGAACAAAACCCUCAAGCAACCCAACAUCCAAGUCUUUACACUCAGUGGAUCAAAGCUGUGGAGAAUAAAGUAUUAGUCAUCUUACUUACUGCAACAAUACCCUCUUUUAAGGAAAAGAUUAAAACCUCUUGGAUAACCCAACAAUGAUGUCAGUAAAGGGAAUCUCACAAUUGCACUUUAUCUCCUAUAUUAAUUUCUAAAUACCACCACCACCAAGCAGGCAUUAGGAAUGCACUAAGGUGGUUUACAAUAUGUUUUUGGUGGCACUGAUGGUUAUUUGGAUGAGAUAUCAUUGAAGAAGUAAAUCCAGUCACCUCAUCUCCUUUCCUUAGCCAUUGGGCCACAGAGUUCAUAUUGUGUGUGCCAGGAAAGAUGCAAGUAAGGCUGGAACGGUGGCAUCAGUUCUGGCCACAUUUGAAAAAAAGUUAAUGUCUCUGUUUGUAUAGCAGUUUGUCUAGUAUUUAAUCCCCCAUUACAUUUUUAAUUGUUUUACUGGUGUCAGGAAGGUGGUUUUGUGAGUCCACUGCACCAGUCACUACCACUGCCCUGAAGAUAUUUGAACUAAACAAAAAGCAGUUUGGUCCUUUAUAAGCUAAAAUCCACUAGUGUCAAGUUGGCCAAAAUUUGGAAAUCAGGACAACACAGGGAAGGUGUUCAUUCACAAUUUAUAUGCAUGUUCAUGCAGACUUUCCCUGUAUCCAGAUUUACAAACCAGCUGCUAGUCUGUUUACUUUCAAGCCUAACUGUGUGGAGUUUCCGAGCAUUUAAUUUUAUACAAUUACCAUUCAGGGACAAAUCUGCAGGGGCUAUGCUUUAAAUAGAAAUUUAAACCAUGUCUCCAUGACUCCAGUGAGUAUUCCCAUCUCUGAUCUAGUCAGGAAUCCAGACUCUCUUAUUACUAUAUGCAUUUGCAAAUUGAAGAACACCGCCCUAAAUGUCCUGUACUUGUUAUAAGCAGUGCCUUUGUGUAAACAUCAGUUUGUGCAAGCUAUUCUAUAGCAUGAAAUGAAACUCAAGGCUGGAGCUGCUGAUAGGCUUCAAUGGUGGCUGCAAAAAAAAAAAAAAAAGUUUGAAUUUCUUGUUCAAAGAGAGAAGCUAAAAUUCUCCAUGUCUUUAUCAAGUGUCCCCCAAGCCAAGAUUAAUUGCUGCUGGGGUGCCAGAGACACCUGUUCUGCGGCAUUACAAUAUUAUCGGAUGCUGUUGUUUUCUGUAAAUGAUUUAUUGAUUUAUCUUGACAAGCAGCUGUGCAUUUUCUACAACACUGGGAAUGUAUGCAUUUAACACGACUUAAUUACACAAGCUAUAAUAAAGAAACUGUAAAAUGGCAAUAUGUUGUUGUUCUUCCCAAGUAGCUCUGCUGAAACAGAUAGUGCCUGGGUCGUGUUCUUGCAUAAGGCUGCAUUAUGAAAUGGGGAGGUGGCAAAUUGUACAUUUUAGUUUUAACUAGAUGGAUACAAAUGUGUUUCGCUCUUACAAGAAAACGCAAACAGUGUGACAUGCUAAAUUUCAUAAGCCUUACAUUAGAGUAACAAUGAACUCUUCAGACACUUUCCCACUGGCAGUGAAUAAUAUCCCCCUGUCAUUUAUAAAUAAAAGGAUAAUUAAACUUUGCUUAAAAGUUAAUUUCUUGGCAGAAAAGGGCAUAAGCCAGAGACUCACACCUCAUUACCAUCAAUGGCUGAUAGCUCAUAAACAGAACAUUAAGCACAAUGCAACCAUAAUAGAAAGUCUCCAAGAGAGGUUUUUAAAUAUAUAUAUAUUUAGGUCUGUGAAAAAAAAAAGUUUCUAAGAUAUGUACAAAAGAUGGAGCACUUCCAUUAGCUCUAUUUGUUACAAUAAGUGGAAAUUAUACAGUGACCUUUUCUUCAGCUAUCUCGGUUUCCCCAUUUUUAAUCAUUACACAAGAUUUGGUGGGGAAUGCUGCUGACACAUUGCUCCUGAGGGGGCAAUUAGCAAAGAAGGAAAUUCUCCAGAAAGUCAGCAAAAUCUUCUCACUUUACAAUGUAAAAUGACAGGGAAGAGCCCAACUUUGGGGGAAUGUCAUAAUACUCAUCUCCAUCUUGUGAAUUCCAAUAUGCCUUGCAAUUAUAAAAAAGUCCAUUAGAAGCAAAUAUCUGAGGACAGUAAUGCUAAUGACACAAGCUAUUAUCAGCUAUAAAUAUUGCAUUAAAUAAUAGAGCACUAAGGGCCUGCAAUUCACUCUAGAGCACCAUAUUGAUAAACCCUCAGAAGGCAAAAUCCCCCAACAACUUUUGAUCAUUUAGGUAACACCAUAUCUUACACUGCCACUGCACUGAAAACAUGAAUCUAGGGAUUUCUUGUAUGCGGUAGGAGAUGGUGUUAUUUAUCAUCUCAUUUAGGAGCUGCACUGUUUUUUAAAAAUCAAAAAACUCUGGGGAGUUCCUGAAACUAACUCUAUGCUCAUCAUUUAAAGCACACAAACAUAUAUUUUAUUGCUUCAUUUCUUUUAUGACUUUUAUUAGCAUUCCUGUAGAGAUGGUUUUGAGAUGAUACAGGUGCAUAGCUGAGGCUGUCCAUGGUCCUGAGCAACUAUUCGAUUGAUAAUUUAAAUCUCAACAUAGUAGAGUUGCUACAAGGUUAAAUUCCAUAAAUGGGGAGUGAACAUGGACCACUGGUAACAAACUGUAUGGGAAACAGCCCUGCUAGAAAAGGUAACCAACAAAUUGAAACUAACAUGGGGACAAACAAAAAAGGAUGACUUCAGCCCGGUGUGGCUCCCCUUUAUUACAUAUAGUAGUUCCAAUCUUUAAGAGAGGCCACCCAAAUGUACCUUCCAAUUAUAGGCCAAUUAGCCUGCUCUCAAUAAUUGGGAAGCUGUAUGCCCGUUUCCUCAGUAGCAAACUGACAGCUUUUCUAAAUGAACACAAUAUACUAUCUGAAGCCCAGGCAGCUUUUCGUGAGAACCAUUCAACAACAGACCACUGUCUAAUGCUGUCCUUCCUAGCCGAGAAGUAUACCAGGCCUCUACAGGGUAAGCUCUUCGUGGCCUUCAUGGAUCUGAAAUCAGCGUUUGACUCCAUCCCCAGAUCCCAGCUAUGGUCCAAAUUAAGUCUGAUUUUGCAGGACAAACGACUCCUCCUUCUCAUAAAAGCCCUGUACAAUGGAACCAAACUGCAGGUCUGAUGCGGUCGAUAGGGACAGCUAUCGAACAGCAUCGAGAUGACUAGGGGGGUGAGACAGGGUUGUAUUUUGGCUCCCACAUUGUUUUGUCUAUUCUUAAAUGACCUAGAAGAGAACUUAAUGGACCCAGAUGGACACAUUCCAAAAAUAGGAAUGAGAAGGACCCCCUUGUUGUUAUAUGCUGAUGACGCAGCCAUCAUCUCACGUUCCAGACCGGGUUUGAAUUAUCUGUUGAAGAAAUUUUCUGAUUACUGUUCUGGAAAUGGUUUAUCCAUUAAUUAUGAAAAAUCUAAAAUUUUAGUCUUCGAAAGAAGAUUCUCCCGGGCUAAAUGGGUGCUGGAUGGCCAUAACCUUGAACAGGUAAAAUACUUCAGUUAUCUAGGGCUCACAUUCCAUCAUACAGGAUCUUGGAAGCAGCAUUGGCAAACCUCCCUUCAAAAGGUGGCAAAUAUGUUCCAGCAGCCUUAAGGGUUUUCAAUGCAAAGCCUGUUUCCCAACUCCUGUAUGCAGCAAAUGUCUGGCAUAAUGGGGACCUGCCAAAGCUAGAUGGCUUCCAGGCAAAAUUUCUACGAUCUCUGCUGCAGGUACCUAACUGCGUCCCCAACUCCGUACUUCUGUUAGAAGCUGGUGAAUGCCCAAUUUCAACUAAAGCGUGGUGGGGGGUCCCCCAAAACAUUGGCUCAGGAUUUCAGUGUUUAAUCUAGGGAAGGGUUUGUACCAACACCUGACCAGUGAGGAAUUUGUCAGCAAAUGGCAGAAAACCAUGGCUAAAAAAGCCACCUCUAUUGGUCUGUCUCCCCCCCAACUGUAUUACCUGGGUUAUGAAGGCGCCCAAAAGAUUUUAAAGCAAAGAUUAUGGGAUAAUGCACACAGUGACUUGCGAUAUCGAUCACACGCAGUCUGUAGUCCGCUGGCAGUAGGAAUUCAAUAUGGGUAUGUCUUUAAGUUAACAUCUUACAUCAAAAACCUGACAGUACCAAACUACUGAAGGCUUUUCACCAAAGCCAGACUAAAUGUCUGUCCCUCUGCAGUGUUGGAUGGCAGGUUGAGAGGAAUUCCCUACCAGGACAGACUUUGCUCGUGUGCUCAAGACAUCGAUUCCAUAAAGCAUAUUUUGUUGUAUUGUGCAAAAUAUGAGCAGGCCAGGGCUGAACUGAUACUACCCUUGCUGGUAUCUUUCCCAGGAAAAUCAGAGGCUCACUAUGUCAGGUUCCUACUGGAAGACCGGACAAAUGCUAGAAUGUUAACAGUGGCAAAGUUUUUAUUGGUGGUUGCAAGAACAAAUGAGCCCUAUAUUCUAAACAAAAUGCUUGAUUAACCUGGAGGUAGGCUGUAUGAAUUGUGUAUUGAUUUGUAAUGAUUUGUUGGGUCUCUGGACCGUAAUAAAGAUUGAUUGAUUGAUUGAUUGAUUGAUUGACAUAUAUAGCCCAAGAAGACAACAACCUAAGCCCCUCUCCUGACAACACAUGAAUUGAUAUGGCUAAUUUGACCCAAGAACUCCCUUCCCCUCUCACACACAAACAAACUCACUGCAAUCAACUGAAUACAACCAACCAUGCUCUGGGCUCUCCAACCUCUCACACUGCAAACAAAAACAAUCCACCUGACUCUGACACCAAACACUGCACAUUUGUUGUUGUUGUUAGUCGUGUCUGACUCUUUGUGACCCCAUGGACCAGAGCAUGCCAGGCACUCCUGUCUUCCACUGUCUCCCGCAGUUUGGUCAAACUCGUGUUGGUAGCUUCGAGAACACUGUCCAACCAUCUUGUUCUCUGUCGUCCCCUUCUCCUUGUGCCCUCAAUCUUUCCCAACAUCCAUUUUACUAUGGCCCCAGGUCAGUCAUGGGUGAGGCAAAGAAACUUGCAUAACGCUGGGACAGGAAGCAAGCUGGGUCGCUGAUGGUUUCAGGAAUAGUUGUUGAAGAAGAAGAAGAAGAAGAAGAAGUUGUUUCCACACAGGUCAUAGCUGGAUGUUCUUCCCUAACUAUCUCCCUCUUAACAAACUCCCAGCCAUCAUGAACUCAUGAGCUUGCAGGGCAGCAGCUGAAGAAGGAGCAAAAAGGGUUUUUGUGUGUGUGUGUGUUUCUUUGUGGCUGAUUAGCUGCUCUCCCUGUGCAAAGGUCAGAGGGGGCAGGGUUUCUGUUGAGGCAGGUGAUUAGCUGUGGGAGGAGCUUAUCAGAGCUUGCAGGGCAGCAGCUAAAGAAGGAGCACAAAGGGUUUUCUUGUGUGUGUGUUUCUUUGUGGCUGAUUAGCUGCUCUCCCUGUGCAAAGGUCAGAGGGGGCAGGGUUUCUGUUGAGGCAGGUGAUUAGCUGUGGGAGGAGCUUAUCAGAGCUUGCAGGGCAGCAGCUGAAGAAGGAGCAAAAAGGGUUUUUGUGUGUGUGUGUUUCUUUGUGGCUGAUUAGCUGCUCUCCCUGUGCAAAGGUCAGAGGGGGCAGGGUUUCUGUUGAGGCAGGUGAUUAGCUGUGGGAGGAGCUUAUCAGAGCUUGCAGGGCAGCAGCUAAAGAAGGAGCAAAAAGGGUUUUCUUGUGUGUGUGUUUCUUUGUGGCUGAUUAGCUGCUCUCCCUGUGCAAAGGUCAGAGGGGGCAGGGUUUCUGUUGAGGCAGGUAAUUAGCUGUGGGAGAAGCUUAUCAGAGCUUGUAGGGCAGCGGCGCGCGCCUAGCGGCGUGCACAGUUUGAUCCAUCUUUUAGAUUUAGGGGAGCUAGUCUCAAACGUUUGUUGGGGGAGACCUAGGUUUUUUUUGGGGGGGGGAGUUAUUUGUCCUGUCUUCACGCUUUUUAUGAUGGAGGACCGCUGUAGCCACCCCCAACGACACGUUCUCAAGAUGGAGGGGGGGGAACAGCUGCAGUCGCCUGCGGUUCCUGCGCAAUGUUUGCCAUCUUGCCAAAGGUUGCAGGCAGCUUUACCUGCAGCAAUUGCAUGUUGAUUGCCCUCUUAGAAGACAAAGUCCAGCAACUGGAGGAACGUGUAGCUAUGCUCCAAAGAAUUAGAGAGCUGGAGCUCUUCUUGGAAGCAACAGAGCACACCAUCUCCACCAAGGAGGAGACAGGGGACUCCCCUGAGAAGGAGGCUAGUUCACCAACACAGGAGCCAGAUAUAUGGAGAAACGUGACUCAAAGAAGUAGGAGGCCCAGGGUUCGCUCUGAUUGUUUAGAAAUACACAAUUGCUUUGAGGUCCUCUCCCCUUGCAUGGAAGACGAAGAGCAGACUCCAUUUGAGGAUCUCUUCCUCAUUACAGUCGAUCAGGUAUAUGAAGACGAGCAGCAAAGUCAGUCCUCAGGGAAUGUGCAGGCGACCUUGGAACGGACAGCUCACGGAAGAACCCCGACCAAACCUAAGAGGAGGCGUGUAGUGGUGAUAGGGGAUUUCCUACUGAGGGGAACAGAAGCAGUGAUCUGUGGGCCUGACAAGAUGUCUCGGGAAGUGUGCUGUCUCCCGGGGCUAAGAUCCAAGAUGUAACUGAACGACUGCAAGGAAUCAUAAAACCCACUGACAAAUACCCCUUCCUCUUGGUUCAUGUGGGAACCAAUGACACUGCAAGCAAUAGCCUCCAGAAGAUCAAAAGAGACUACGAGGCUCUGGGCAGGAAAGUGAAGCAAUUAAAUGCACAAAUUGUCAUCUCAUCUGUCCUCCCAGUUGAACGACGUGGCCCAGGGAGAGAGGGGAAAAUAGUGGAAGUGAACAGCUGGCUUUGCAAAUGGUGUAAACAGGAACGGUUUGGAUUCUUAGAUCACGGACUGCAGUUUCUUGAAGAUGGACUUCUGGCAAGCGAUGGGCUGCACCUCACAAUGGUUGGGAGAAAUGUUUUUGCCAAAAAUCUCAGAAACCUCAUCAGGAGGGCUUUAAACUGACUAAUGUGGGGAGGGAGACAGUGCUCCUGAAGGUAGGAGUCUAUCAAUUGAUGAAGAUGAUCAUCCAAAUGUCAUAGACCAAAUGGAGCAAACAGCACACAGACCUAGUGGUGGGAGGAAAAAUCCUUAAAUAAGAGACACGGGGAAUGAUUAAUGGACUUCAAUGUCUGUACACUAAUGCGCAAAGCAUGGGAAAUAAACAAGAUGAGCUUGAGCUCUUGGUACAGCAAACUAAAUAUGACAUAAUAGGCAUCACUGAAACCUGGUGGGAUAAGUCCCACAAUUGGAAUGUAAUAAUGGAGAGAUACAAUCUGUUUCAGAGAAACAGACCAGACAAGAAAGGAGGAGGAGUGGCGUUAUAUGUCAGGGGUGUGUAUACCUGUGAAGAGAUCCAAGAUUUAGAACCUCAAAGCCAAAGUGAGAGCAUUUGGGUCAAAAUUAAGGGAGAGAAGAAUAACAGUGACCUCAUUGUGGGAGUUUACUAUAGAUCCCCAAUCCAAACGGAGGACAUAGAUGAUGCCUUCCUGGAACAGAUGGCCAAGCAUGCAAAAGGAAGGGAGAUAGUAGUAAUGGGGGACUUCAAUUACCCGGUUAUUUGUUGGAUGUCAAACUCAGCCAAGAGGAUAAGGUCAAACAGAUUCCUCACUGGCCUUGCAGACAACUUCAUUGUCCAGAAAGUGGGAGAAGCAACAAGAGGAACAGCCAUUUUAGAUCUGGUCCUAACCAAUGUUGAUGACCUGGUUAGUGGGGUAGAAGUGGAAGGAUCAUUAGGCGCGAGUGAUCAUGCUCUUCUGAAGUUUACUGUACAGCGGAAAGGAGCAGCCAAGCAUACUAGGACUCAAUUUCUUGACUUUAAGAAAGCCGACUUCAUAAAACUUAGGGAAGUGCUGGGUGAGAUCCCAUGGACAGUAAUACUAAAAGGAAAGGGAGUUCAUGAUGGCUGGGAGUUUGUUAAGAGGGAGAUAGUAAAAGCACAACUUCAGGCAAUACCAAUGAGACGGAAACAUGGAAGGUGCCUAAAGAAGCCAGGGUGGCUAUCUAAAGAACUUAUAACUGAGUUAAGAUUUAAAAAGGAUGUGUACAAAAAAUGGAAAAGGGGGGAACCACCAAAGAGGAAUUCAAACAAAUAGCCAGCACGAGUAGACACAAAGUCAGAAAAGCUAAAGCACAGAAUGAACUCAGGCUUGCUAGAGAGGUUAAAAGCAACACAAAAGGCUUUUAUGGGUAUGUUCGUAGCAAAAGGAAGAACAAAGAAACAGUGGGGUCACUCAGAGGAGAAGAUGGUGAAAUGCAAACAGGGGACACAGAAAGGGCUGAACUCCUCAAUGCCUUCUUUGCCUCAGUCUUCUCCGAUAAAGAAAACAAUGCCCGACCUGAAGAAUUUGGAGCAAAUGAUUCAGCAGAGGAAACACAGCCCAGAAUAACUAAGGAGAUAGUACAAGAAUACUUGGCUAGUUUAGAUGUAUUCAAGUCUCCAGGGCCAGAUGAACUGCAUCCAAGAGUAUUAAAAGAACUGGCAGAUGUGAUCUCAGAACCACUGGCAGUCAUCUUUGAGAAUUCCUGGAGAACAGGCGAAGUCCCGGCAGACUGGAGGAGGGCAAAUGUUGUCCCUAUUUUCAAAAAGGAGAAAAGAGAGGACCCAAAUAAUUACCGCCCAGUCAGUCUGACAUCAAUACCAGGGAAGAUUCUGGAGCAGAUCAUUAAGCAAACAGUCUGUGAGCACCUAGAAAGGAAUGCUGUGAUCACCAAUAGUCAGCAUGGAUUUCUGAAAAACAAGUCAUGUCAGACUAACCUGAUCUCGUUUUUGACAGAAUUACAAGCCUGGUAGAUGAAGGGAACGCAGUGGAUGUAGCCUACCUUGAUUUCAGCAAGGCAUUUGACAAGGUGCCC